RNAcentral lists this long non-coding RNA (54640 nucleotides) under Ananas comosus (pineapple). Its description in RNAcentral is "long non-coding RNA (ACOM_LNC021761)". Lineage: Eukaryota; Viridiplantae; Streptophyta; Magnoliopsida; Poales; Bromeliaceae. The record is from RNAcentral.
AAGGUUGAUCUGUUGGUGAUAUCCAAAUCCAUUUGCAAUUGAACCAAGCUUUUCAAAUUUCCACUCUAGAGGCUUGUGUGGUUUAGCGUAGCUAGCUCAUCAAUUUCCUGUGAAUUUUCACCAGUGUUACUCUUAUUGUGGGGAUUGUUGGAGAUUAUUUUAUUUGGAAUAGCUGAGGAAGUUGAAUUGGUAUUAUGAUAUAUAAAUUCCUUUGUAUUUUUAAUGAAUUAGUUCUCUUACAUUCAUAACCUUAGUCUUGAUCAAAGCGUUAUUCAAAUUUCGUAGUCGUCGGCACGAACUCUCUCCUCUUCAUGGUUUGAUAGGCGAUACUCGUUGCGAGAGUCGUUGACUAUCCGAACCUAACUAAAACUAGGAUGAAUGCUUAUAUACCCAUGAGAACUAGAGGAACUAGGCUGGGGUCAGAGUAGGAGCAUAGGGCAUAGGAGUCCUCUCUGUCCGGGCAAUAUUUCCUUAAUUUGGACUUUGCAGGGCAAUAUUCAGGAUAAUUUCAUUCUUAAUAUUAAUUAGUUGUGUUUGGUUAAAUUUGUCGUUUCGAUCUUAACUCUCGUCUUUCUUCAUUUGUCCAGCGUCCGAAUUUCGAAGAUUUCAAAGACGUAGAAGAGGAAGGGAGGAGGGAGAAGAUCUCUAUAGUUGGGGAUUUGCAUGAAUCAGUUUAUCCGAAGAGGUAUGUUGCCGAUGCAAGGAGGAGUCCUCUCUCACCGUCUCUUCGCAUCGCUGCCACCUCUGACUCCAUCGCCACUUCCGUCUAGAAGGUUUUGCCUUCUUAAUUCUUUUUCUGAUCUCUCCUUUCUCCCCUAAUGUUCAGAAUUAAAGGGCCCACUUCAAUUAGCAUAAGUUGGUACAUCCAAGGCCUAAUUUUUCCUGAUAUUCACAAAUUUUUCCUCCCCUUCCUUUCUUUGGGUUUUACAGAGAGGCACAUCUUUGGUAUGUAGUACCAGAUGAGUUGAAGGAUGCUUCCCAACUGAAGAAGUAUAUGGAACUCUUAUCUUCUUGUGAGCGAGAAAGGGUUUUAUCAAUGAACGGAGAACGCCUUCAAAAAGGUGCUUUGUUGUCACGUGCCUUGGUCCGCACCACCCUUGCAAGAUGUAUGAUUUUAUUUACUUUCCAUUAAAUCCCAUGAUGCUUGACGAAAUACUUAGAUGUACUCGCAUAUAUGCUCGAAGCAUGCUCUUUUUUAGCCUCGUUACUAUAAGCUGACUGAUUACAGCUAGAGUGCAAAGUGAUAUGCACGGUUCUUCAUCUGUCUCUGAUUUCCCUUUUGUUUGAAAAAUUCCUAUGCAUGUUUAAAAAUCUAAUUCGACACUGCCUAUUUCAGCAAAUAAUCCUCUUCCUAGUCCUGUAUAAAACAUUAUAAGAAAAACAAAAGUUAUUGGUGCAGAACAAGUAUAUAUAGACUAUAGAUCCUAUUUCCUUUGUCCCAUGGCAUUUCUAAUGCAUAUCGUUGCGUAUGAAAAAUAAGCAAAUUGCAAAAUUAUUCUGCCAUAGUAACUGAUUAUUGAUUUUGUCUAAAUUAGAUUUGAUGCAGAUUGUAGAGUCAAUCCACAAUCAAUCAAGUUCAAAACAAGCAAAUUUGGGAAGCCUGAGGUAAUAAGUUAGAGAUACCAGUCUAUACUUCUUUAUAUGCCAUGCUCUUUGUCCGUCUACACUUUUAAGCGUCUACUGUCGCUGAGCUCCUUGACUGAUGCGUAAUAUUUGCUUGAUCAGAUAAUGUGGCAACAUGGUGAUCAAUGUAACCAGCCUUCCUUGCAAUUCAAUGUUUCGCACUCCUCUUCCUUGAUUGCCUGUGGCAUUACUGUAGAUGUUCCGGUACUGUUCAUUUUCCUUUUCUUAUACCAACAUAAAAAUUUUACUUUGUUCUUACUAACUAUUCUCGAGUUAAUAUUGUGGCUGGUGUUUCUAGCUAAUGUAUUUUUUAUUUUAAUGAUUCAGAUUGGCAUUGAUGUUGAAGAAAAGCAACGAAAGACAAUGAGUAGCAUCUCAUCUCUUGCUCGCCGCUAUUUCUCACCUUCUGAAGUUGAAUAUUUGGGGUCUUUUUCAAAUACUGAUGCCCGGCAAAAAGAAUUUAUAAAACUCUGGACACUUAAGGUGAGUGAGAUUUUAGAAGGUCCUUUUUCCACUCAUUUGUUCUUUUCUUCUUAUUUUUCAUUAUAAUUAUCUGGAUUUCUUUUGUUUCAUGCUUUUGUCAUUCCUCACUAAGUCCUCUUGAAAGAGAAGUAAGAUAUGGGUCAGAGAUAAUUACUCAAACUAAGAAUUACCCUGUAAUAAAUAGGUGAAUUCGGAGUUCAUAGUCCUUUGAUUGCAGAUUGAAGACAGUAAGAAAAGAAACUGAAGUUGAUAGGAUAUAAAUCAUGCAUACAAGCCAUGGUUCCUGCAUUUUAUUAGUUCAUCAGUACAUAUGGGCAUACAUAUGUGAAUACACAGAGAUUUUGGCAACUAACCGUUGUGUUCAAUUUCUAGGAGGCAUAUGUAAAAGCUCUCGGAAGAGGCUUUUCUGGUGCUCCAUUUAAGGAUUUUACCAUUCGGCUGGAAGCAACCAAAGCAAUGCAAUUAGCUGCGGUACUUAUGUCUACGCUUCGUUCUAUAUUAAAACUUUUGCUAUGACUUUGUAUUUCGAGCUAGCAGAAAUGGCAAUUUCAAUGCAUCUGAUUUUUAUUCAUUUAUAUUUAUUUCCUAGGUGCCCAGAGUGCAUAUAGAAGCUGAUUCUGAUCCUGAAUACCUAACUGAUAAUUGGGAGUUUGCACUCUUCGAACUUAGUAGUUCUCAUUACGCUGCCGUUUGCAUGGAAAGGGACAUAUCUCAUUCUGGUGGGUAUUUGAAAUCUUCACCUUUCCAGAACAUAAGUGAGGAGCUUAAACUUACCAAUCUUUUUAACUGUUCUCUUUUAUUUUGUUGCAUAUUACAGGCAGGGAGAAUGAGCCGCUGAGAUUGAAAGUAUGGAAGACGAUUCCAUUCGUAGAAGACGAAUUUGUUUCUGGGACCAAUGCAGUAAAAUAUAUUUGUGGACUAUCUUGAGUCAUUCGCUGCACUAUUUGAUGCUUUUAUCCACAAAUUUAAUUAUCACUGCAUUGGACUUAAUUUUUGUUCUAACGACCGCAGCUCUGCGAACACUGACAGAGCUUCGAACCAAGAUAGAGCUUCUGAAUCUUACUCGCUCGGCAAAAGGGAGAUUGCUGUAAGUCGAGCUCCUCGGUGUUUUCAUGCAUCUUCUUUUAGAAUAACUAAUUUUUCGUUCUUUUUAGCUUGCUCCUGCAACAUGUCUAGGCUGAUUCAGUUAAGUUGGGCUCCAUUUUGAGUUGUCUUUCUCCAGAUUUUUCGAACUUACUUCCUUUUUUUGGAUAGGAAGAAUGUAGUUAGCAUUAGCCAUACAACAUCCCUUGAUUAAUAUAAUUUUUAAUUUUUUUUUGGAAAUUGCUCAGUAUAUCAACUUAAAAGAAGGGCAAUUGUUUAUAUACUCCUGCAAGGCUUCUGAGUUUCUUAUUUAUUUCUUUUAGAAGACUAAUAUUGAAAAUAUUUUUUUAACAUUCUACGGUUUUUCAAAUAUAUCCUGAACUAUUACGAACAACUAUCAUUUUUGUUAAAUUAUUAUUUUAUCCUUUCAAAUAUAUUCUUCUACUGUUAUUAAUUUUUUUUCUUAUUUAUUCUUAAGUUAAGAGCAAAAAAAAUAUUUUGACUUCUUUUUUUUCAAAUAUAUUUUUUUUACUGGCAGUAAUUUUUUUAAUUUGCUCUUAAGUCAGGAGUAAAAAGAGGUAUUUUAAAUUUUUUUUUAAAAACUCUAGUGAAAAUUUAAUAUGGGUUUAUUUUGAGAUGACUUAACUGGUACUAGUGAAGGUAUUUUUGAAUAACGAAAAAAAUUGUAUUUUUGAAUAAUGAAAAAAUUUGUGAGGGGUAUAUUUGAAACCAAAAAAAAAAAAAAUAGAUAUUUUAAAAAUUUUGAAGGGUAUAUAGAUAAUUAUUCCUUAAAAGAAAAUGCUAAUCGCAAAUAUUUGCACGAACACGAGUUGACUCGUUUACCGAAAAAUUCAGCUUGUAUUUUACUCGUUAAUAAACGAGCCCAACACGAGCUGGCUCAUGAGCUGGCCAACGAACAAUAAGUUAAAAUGAUUAGAUUGAACAUAUAUAAAAUAUAAAUUUAUAAAAUCUUAUUCAUUAGAUUUUAAUCUAAUAGUUGAAAUUUUAUAAAUAAAUGAGUCUUUUUAUAAUUUAGCUCGUUUUUAUAUUUUUAUUUUGCUAAAAAUUAAAUAAUAAAAAUAUAUAUUAUAUAUAUAAUUAUUUAUAUAUAUUUAAAUAUAAAUUAAGUAAAUUAUAUAAAUAUAAAAUAUAUGUAUUCAAGCUGUUAUCAAGUCGAACACGAGCGAGCUAAUCCCAGCUCGUGUUCGGAUCGUUUACUAAACGAGCUGAAAAAUUCAGCUCGUGUUCGGCUUGUUUACUAAACGAGCUGAAAAAUUCAGCUCGUGUUCGACUUGUUUACUAAACGAGCGAUUCGAUCUCGAGUUCAUUUGAACUGGCUCGCGACCAGCGAGCUGGAUUGCCACCCCUAGUGCGGGGUGCUCACUGGUGCACGUUGGACCCAUUUUGGGUGUGUCGGCGCCGUGCCAACGCGUACGCAGUUACGCACGUAACUGUCAUGCGUGCUGUGCGUACGUUCCUGAUCACCUUCCCUUGGGCCGUAAUCAAACGGUGCAUUUACUGCUGUCCCCUAAUUUUAAGUUGUAUUUAUAUCAUAUGAUUUUAUUUUAUUUUUUUGUUUCACCCUAAAAUAUAGGAUAGAAUAAUAAAGUAAUAAGAUAAUAUUUUUAAUAUGUAGUAUAGCAUUUUAACAUCUUGUAGUUUGCAGGAAGUAUUAUUUUAUGGUAAAAUAUAAGUAAAUUAUUCACUAGUUACUUAUAUUUUUUGGUAAAUCUCGUUGGAAUCUAGACUUCCUGCAAACUACAAGAUGUUAAAAUGCUAUAUAUAUUUUGAGAGAUAAGUAGCACGCUACCGCUUCGUUUAUUUUAUUUAAAAAUAAACUUAGCUGGAAAUGUGAAUCAAUUAGGAUUCGAACUUGAGUUUCGGGUACCAACCACCAAGCCCUUUCUUGGGCAAUAGAUUUGGGUCCUGUUUAACUUCAGCUUCGAUAUAAUUUCCACCUGAAAUCUGAAAACAAAACCAAAUUUUAACGAGCUUCGCAUAGAAUUUCUAUCAGAUUUUACCCAAAAAAAAGAAGAAGAAGAAACUUAGUAUGACAUUUUGAAGAGAACCUAAAUGCUCAAAAAUAAAUUCAACAUAUAAUUUUUUGAUAACAUGUUGCUGUUCCUAUUAUGUCGGAGACAACAAUACUGUGUACUCCAAGAUCAAUAAUUACGAUAGUGGGUGCGAUCCGUGCUGUAAACUUUAAUUGGGCCACGCUUUGGGUAUGUGAAUCAAAUUUUGUUUCAGGGGCCUUUGCUUUUGAUUAUUAGAUCCCUUGUAAAAAUUUGGGUAGUUGAUAGUUGCUCCUCAGAAAAAGCAAACCGCGUCAUAUUAUUAUUAUUAAUUAUUAUUAUUAUUAUUAUUUGUGGUAUUUGGUGGUACCCCUCCAUGGUGUUUUUACGAUUCUACCCAUGUCGUUUGAGGAAAUGACAUGAAGGCCUUGCCAAUUUUAUAGUCUCUCUUUAUUGUGGCCUGAGUGUUGCUUUUGUUUUUGUUUUCUUUUUUAAGACUUUUCCUAUGUAUUUAUUUUUGCACUCUGAUUUAAAAAAGAAUACAUUAUGUAUGAUGAGAUAAGAUAGUAAUUUUAAUAAUCUCUUUUUUUUUUAUUUAAAAUAUUUAAAUUGUUAUUAUUCAACUCUAAUUUAGUAAUUAUAAAAGGCGGUAGUGAAAUAGUAAAGUUAUUAUAGAUUUCUUACCUAGUAGGAAUAUUAGAUUAUUACAAGUUACGUGGUAUUCUAUUAAUAAGACUAUGCUAUUUCUUAACAAUCUCAUAACUCAAGUGGCUUUGUAAGUAAGUAAUAAACUUACCUUUUUAAAUAUAAAAUAUAUAAUAUUUUCAGAAUAUUAUAAAUUUUGAACCAAACAGUUUUUUUUAAAAAACCCUAUAUAUAUAGAAAAAAAGUUAAUAAAAUUGGAGAGUGAAUAUAACUGUUUGGACGGAUGAGAUGUAAAUUUUGCACCUAAUUUAGGAGUAUAUAGGUAACAUAGCUUUUAUUUAUAAUUAUUUGGUUAUUAUAUGGUUUCUUUAAUUGUACAAAAAUAUAGAGAAGUACAUUUUUGCUUAUGUAAACACUCAAUAAUAGAGUGUAAACUUUUCUGGAUACUGGUACUAUAUAUCUAACAUCAUGUAUUUUUACCUUUGCCCAUCUUUCAUUUCAUCUGAUUUAAAUUAUUUGACUUUUAACAGAGAAAAUUCUGUAACUUACUGAGAUGGAAUGAAGGAUAAUAUUACCGAAUAUAAUAUAAAAAAAAAAAACUAAAUGUACCAUUAAAUAGAUUCUCUUUUAAAGUAUUAACAAUUUUGGACCAACCUUAGAUGGCCACGUGCUCACCUAAACCAUCUCUACCUCCACCGGGACUUGUAUUUUUAAAAAUAAUAAUUUAUUAAACAACAAUUUUUUGCAUCAUUGCGCCGGCUUAAUCUGAGAUUCCAACGUGUCACACGUUGCGCCACUUUGGACCAAACCCGAACUUAUGGUCCAAACCCGAAUGGGCGAAUAGGUGGACCCAUCAAUGUAUGUGUCUGAUUAUAAUAAUAGAGUACAACCCCACGAAACGUUUUAUGGGAUCACGUGCGCGGGUCCACGUGGCACUGUUUGCUACCGCAAAUCCCGCGAGGGUUAGAUUGCACGUGGUAUAAACAAAAAGGUGGGGCCCACAUGUCAGUGAAUACACUGAAUAAAUUUGUGUGUGAGAAAGGUCAACGGCAUAAUUUGACUGUUAAUUAAGAGGUGACUAAUUUCCAACAGUGCCUCGCCCCACGAACUUCUAGCUCGCCCAUUUAUAUAUUUUCACGUUGUUAAUUACAAAACUUAUAUAUUUGCGUCUUAAUCACAUAAUUUUAGGAUGCUUUUAUUUUCUCAUUAUACAUUUUUAUUACGUCAGAACCUAUGAUUAAAAAUAAAGAGAAGCAGAAAAAGUUGUGAGAACUUGACGAAUAAUUUACGGCGUUCCACAAUAAAACAAAAAAGAUCACAUGCUUCAUGCCAGAAAGAACGCUACAAAAUAUUUACGACAAUAAUUGAUACAUCUACGUAUUAUUCGAAUCAUAUAAUACUAAUAUUUGUACUUUGGAAUAAGAAAUAGGACAAGUGAUCAUGACAUACAAAAAUUCAUUAAAAUAAUUUAAAAUUGAAAAUUUCUGCCCCCAACAUAAAUUGGGUGAAUAUCGGAGCGCCUAAUUGUCAAAACAUUGCUUUAGGGGAAAAAAAAAGAAAAAGAAAAAGAAAAAGAAAAAAGAAAAAGUCAAAACCGGCGAUUGUUCCAUACACGCCAACGACAUCGGGGUUUCAACGGUUGUGUUUGGCGCGACCACCGAUCGAGGGGCAUUUCGGUAAAAUGAGCCUUCCCCAGUGAGGGGGUAAUUUAGUAAUUUCACCUUUCAUCGUGCUUUUACUCUGCGGUAGGUGGUUUGACCACUGGGGUUAGGUAAGCGGACCCGGCGAUAAAAGCCCCGGCUCCUUCAUCGCCCCUUCCCUCUCUCAGGGCGCUCUCUCUCUCUCUUCUCACCCAACCCCACCAAACCCUAGAGAGAGCGAGGGAGAGAGAGAGAGAGAGAGAGAGAGAGAGACUCGAACUCUUCGAUCUCAUCGCCCCUUCCCCCUCUUCCACGAUCGGAGACGAUGGAGUCCGGAUCCAUGAAGCCGUCGCCGCUCGACCUCCUUACCGCGAUCCUCACCGGGAAGCGCCUCGGCGGCGGCGGCGUUGGCGGCGCGGCGCCGGAGUCGGAGGCGAUCGCCGAGGCCCGGGACCUCCUGAUGAUCCUCGCUACCUCCCUCGCCUUGCUCGCCGGGUGCGCCGCGCUGAUCCUGUGGCGGCGCUCGGUCGCCGCGGGGGGGAAGAAGAAGCAAAGUAAGGCGGUGGAAGCGCCGAGGCCGCUCGUAGUGAAGAAGGAGGCGGAGGCGGAGGUGGACGAUGGGAAGAAGAAGGUCACCGUCUUCUUCGGUACUCAGACCGGGACGGCGGAGGGGUUCGCGAAGGUUUGACCUUCAGAUCUCGGCUUCUAUCGACCUUAAUUUUUAUUUCAAAGCCUUUUUUUUAAAAAAACAUCAAAAGUAGCUAACUAUUCUCUAAUUAGGCACUCGCGGAGGAGGCUAAAGCGAGAUACGGCAAGGCCACCUUUAAAGUCGUUGAUUUGGUAUGACCCCUUUUUGUGGAACUUUUGAUUUAUAUUUGAAGAUAAUGCGAUUUAAUUGAUCUUAAAAAUUCUAUCCUUAUUGUAAUAUAUGUAGGAUGAUUAUGCUGCUGAGGAUGAUGAAUAUGAGGAUAAAUUAAAGAAAGAGAGCGUAGCUUUAUUCUUCUUGGCUACGUAAGAUUAUCUCUCUUAAAUUUUCUUUGAUUGCUUGAUGCACUUCAAAGUUUCUUCUUCUUUUUUUUGGUAAAUUUUGACACGGCAAUUUGGAUAUUGUAGGUAUGGGGAUGGUGAGCCAACUGAUAACGCUGCUAGGUUCUACAAAUGGUUUUCAGAGGUUACAGAACUUCUCGAUUAAUUCACUGCAGUUUCAUUUCUUCUUUCUGCUGGGAGUGCCUGAAUGCUGUUUAAUUUACAGGAGAAUGAGAGGGGAAAUUGGUUGAAGAAUCUUCAGUAUGCAGUGUUUGGUCUGGGCAACAAGCAGUAUGAGCAUUUCAAUAAGGUUAUAUUUGGUUUUAAUAUGAAAGUUUAUAAAUGUUUUGGAUCAAGUUUAUGUGCUGACAUGCUUUAUUUGUGUAAUUUGUGCUUGGAAAUGAAGGUUGCUAAGGUGGUGGACGAGCUCCUCGCUCAACAGGGUAUAAUUUCGAGGCCUCUGAAGCUUGUUGUGGUUUUCUUUCUAGUUUAUUUUAGAUUAAAGAUUUGAUUUUCUUGAUGCUAAUAUUGAUAUGAGUUUUUGGGUAGUCAAGUAAUUGUGGAGAGGUAUUGGAUGCCUAGGUUUCUUUGCGAAGUUUGAGGUCAAUUAUUUGUGUAGAGCAUAAACUAUCAAGACUAUGAAAACUGCACCAUGCAAUUUAGAUACCAAUUAUUUUGGUAUAAUUUACUUUUCUUGAUGACUGGGCUUAUCUGCCUUUGUGUUGAGAUUCUGAUUAAGCUAUAUUUGAGAUAAAUACUCUUGCUAGGCUUUUCAGUUUUCGCACUAUCUGGUUGAAGUGCAUGUGAGAUGUUUUGCGAGUUUGUAAUCAUAUAUAUACUGCCUGAAGUUAAACCAUAUGUUUGCUAAUUGAAACUGCAAAUUAUUUUUUCCCCCUCUUUUUGACUUCUAAAUUUCAUCUCAUGGUUGUAUACGUUCUACUAUGAUUUUCUAAUUACUUACUGAAUUUUGAAUGGUUUAUUUUUAUCAACUUGCAGUUCCGACAGGAUAUUUUGUAUAAUGUUUGAUUGUAUUAAAGUGUUGUCCUUUAGUACUUUGAUGCUUUGGAGUUUAUAAAAUGUGGCAGCUUAUCAAAGUGAUUGAUUGACUAUUUAUUUUUUAUUCUGCUAAAGAAAGAGGAAACUAGAACUCACUUGCACUUAACACAUUGUGCUAGGAGUAAGCAAAGAUUCACUAGCCACUUACGCUUCUUAGUAGUUUUCAUGUCUCUCACCUACCAUAUAAUACUUUUAUGCUGUUCUCUUUUAGAGCCACCUGCGCCUUUUGCUUGUUGAUCACAUUUUGAAGCUAUAUAGCGUAGUUGUAAUUUUCUAUAUUCUUGUUUAUUCAACUUAAUUGUGUUCUUUUCCCUUAUUUUUGCUUUUCUUGUUAUAGGUGGGAAGCGCAUUGUUCCUGUUGGUCUUGGAGAUGAUGAUCAGUGCAUUGAGGAUGACUUCACUGCAUGGUAUAUGAACUAUUUCAAACUGGUUAAAAUUUUGACACAACUAAAUAUAUUUGAAGGUCUUUGUGUGGCCUUUUUUUAGAUAAAUUUUUUGCCUAGCUAUACCAAUAUUUUUAUUUUCAGGAAAGAGCUUCUAUGGCCAGAGUUAGAUCAGUUGCUCCGAGAUGAAGAUGCUGCUUCAGGAGCAUCAACUCCUUAUACUGCUGCUAUCCCUGAAUACCGGGUCGUAUUUAUCAACAGUGAAGAUGCUGCCCACUUGGAAAAGAGUUGGAGUCUUGCAAAUGGCCAUGUUGUUCAUGACAUCCAACAUCCAUGCAGGUAGGAGGAUGUUUAGCUGCUAAAGUUUGAUAGGAUAAAUGCACAUGUACCCUGCAAAUUGUUGUAUUUACUUAUGUAACCUUAAAAAUUUUGAAGUUUCAUAUAGUCACACAAAAUUUGAUUUCUUAGAUGUAUACUCCUAUAUUCACAAAUUGCCGUUUCUUAGAAGACUUUUUAUGCAAAUGAACGAAAUUGUUCUUGCCAUUGACAAUUUGACAUUUUAGUGGUGAUGUACUAACCUAACAUGUUUUACCUCUUAGGGCUAACGUGGCUGUUCGGCGGGAGCUUCAUACCCCAGCUUCUGAUCGGUCCUGCAUUCAUCUGGAGUUUGACAUUGCUGGCACCGGUCUUACGUAAGUAUUUCUGUUAUUUACAUGUCAUGAUUGCAUAUUAUUGUUCAUCAUUUGUUCCAAUUAAGACAUUAGCAUAAUUAUCCCUUUUGUCCUACAUAUACUUUUCUCUUGAUAUUCUUACCAUUGAGAAUUUGUUGCUCAAUGGCAGCAGCAUAUUAUUAUGCUUGGGGAGAAUGGGAAAUUUACUGAUCAAUCAUUAUAUCAACUCACUAUUGCGUCUUACUUUUUUUUUAUCUUUUUGAUUAUGAACCAGUUAAAGUGGUAUAUAUUUUAUUGUUGGGCUUUUGUAAGUAUCCCAUUUGCUCUUGUAGAAGAGUCUUUUUUUUUAAUCUAUGACUUGGCGAUGCUGUUUAGCCAAAAAUCAAUUGUAAUAGGAUGAUUAGGGUGAUUGUCUGCUAUCUAACACAAUGAGACAAUGAGUAAUUAGUUCACGCUGGUCUAGAACCAGUGGCAUAAGAUAUUCGACCUAUACCUGGUGCCUAAAUCUUGUUCAAUUUUUUUUUUUCAGUUAUUGCUUUGAUUAAGUAUGAAUCACUCUGUUCUACUUUUUGCUUAUCAUUUUAGCUUUUCCUUUAAUCAGGUAUGAAACAGGAGACCAUGUAGGUGUAUUCACAGAAAACUGCCUUGAGACAGUAGAGGAGGCAGAAAAGCUAUUAGGUUAUUCACCAGACACAUUUUUCUCCAUUCAUGCCGACAAAGAGGAUGGCACACCACUUGGCGGUGGUUCAUUGGGCCCUCCCUUCCCAUCUCCUUGCACUUUAAGGACUGCUCUUGCCCGAUAUGCUGAUCUUCUUAACUCACCAAAGAAGGUGAGUGUUUCCUUUGGUACCCAUACCCUAUAUUUUUAUAUUGUUACUUGCCAUUGUGCCAUAUUUGAGAAUGUUUAUUAAUUGAUCUUGAACAGAGUGCUCUAAUUGCAUUGGCGGCUUACGCAUCUGAUCCUAGUGAGGCAGAGCGGUUAAGAUUUUUGGCUUCUCCUGCUGGGAAGGUUGGUUUCACUUUCAAAGAAUUUCAUAUGAACUUAAAACUUUAUAGGGUCGUUUUCAUAAACCCCUGUGAAAUUGUCUGUUCACUUAUAUAGCUCUGCAAAAUCAGAAUUUUCGUAUUUUCCCUUCAAAAACUUGAUUUCUUACAGAAAACUUGCAAAUAUUCCCACUACCUUUUGAGCUUUUUCUAAUACAAAACCAAUAUCACCCAUUUAAAUAGGAUGCACCCAGCUUCUGAUUAGGGUAUUUUUGUAAAAAGAAUUGCAAUUUAAAUUCUCUUGCAGCUAUACCCUUUCUAUUUUAAGAAUAUUCACCCUAGUAAAUUUUCUUUUUCUAAUGCAAAACCAACUACCCUACUUGAAUAGGAUAAUUUUCAACUAUUUUUUCUGUUUUUUUUGUAGAAACUGCACUUUCAAGGGUAUGUAAAAUUUUAGAUCAUACAGAUGUUUAUAUGCAAGUUUACAGCGUUUGGUGUAUAUGUGUACAUUUCUCAAUAUUCUUUUUGUGAUGUCCAAAUUUUGUGGUACAGGAUGAAUAUUCUCAGUGGGUAGUUGGUAGUCAGAGGAGCCUUCUGGAAGUUAUGGCCGAGUUUCCUUCAGCAAAGCCUCCUCUGGGAGUUUUCUUUGCAGCUGUUGCUCCACGCCUGCAGCCUAGAUACUACUCAAUAUCUUCUUCACCCAGGUAAUUAUUGCAUUUUAUAAUCAAUUUACUACAUUUGAACUGAUCCUUUGUUGAUAUUUAUAUAUAUUGUGUAUAACUUUUUCCCAGAAUGGCACCAACAAGGAUUCAUGUGACAUGUGCUUUAGUGCAUGGCCCAACACCAACAGGAAGGAUUCACAAAGGAGUCUGCUCAACUUGGAUGAAGGUACCUAAACUUUUGUCCGAGACAUCUUUAUAUUUAGUGUCAAUCACAAAUUUUGACCCUGAAGCUUGAUCUGAAUAUCAAUUUCCUCCUCGAGUUUCAAUUUUUCACAAUUGAAACCCUGAAGUUUGAUUCCAAUUUUGAUCUAAUUCCUAAGAGUUCACGAGCUGAACAUUUUAGUUCUUGAAGUGUGACCAUGAUUUCUAUUUCAUUCUCGAAGUUCCAAUUUGACACUUACCAAAGUGUGAUGAUAGUGCCGGUACAGCAUCUUUUCUGGUUGUAUACUAGUAAACAGGGCUUUUUUUGCUAAACAAAUUUCAGAGUAACUUGUUAUUGUUGGCAUUAUAAGAUGAGAUUGAAAUUGGAGUCAAAUUUCGAGGACUUAUUUUGUAAUUAAAUAUUAUAUUUGUGUCACGUGUUUGGUGAUGAUUACCUUUCUAUUAUAUAGAGAUCCAUCAUUAUAACUUAUGUCUAUCAUCUAUUUCUUUUUACCAGAAUUCUGUUCCAUCGGAAGAGAGUAAUGAAUGCAGUUGGGCGCCUAUUUUCGUGAGACAAUCAAACUUCAAACUGCCCUCUGAUCCUUUAGUGCCGAUUAUUAUGAUCGGCCCAGGAACAGGUCUUGCACCUUUCAGGGGCUUCUUGCAGGUUUGUUGCAAGUUAUUGCAUUUUGGACACAUUUAUUUAUAUUUUUUAAUUAAGUUUUCCCAUUUACUUAUAUCUUGUUCUUGGUGUGUGCAGGAAAGGCUAGCUCUUAAAGAGUCGGGAGUGGAGCUUGGUCAUUCUGUUCUCUUCUUUGGAUGCAGAAACCGCAAGAUGGUAUGGAAAUAUUGUCAGUCCACCUAUUAGAGAAGAGAAGAUAGCUUAGUAGCACUAAGGGCAUGUUUUCCCAACAAUAGCUUCUCUAGAAGUGCUGUUUCUGUCUGAAGAAGCACAAAGUGCUCUUUCCUUUGAAAUCUCCUCUACAGCUUUUUACUGCUGCAGAAGCAGAAGCUUCAAACUGGUACCUCUGCUCUUGGGGCCCAAAAGCUCAUUUGAUCGUGUCUCAUCUCAGUAAAAGCUCAAGCAUAGUUUGUGGCUAAAUACUUGGCUUCUGCAUUCUGGAAACUGUUUUACAAGCCAGGCAAAACAAACACUAACUUGUACAAUUAUGUUCCACUGUUCCUAUAUUAUAACUGGUUGUAUUGAUGCAGGACUUCAUCUACGAGGAGGAACUGAGCAAAUUCGUUGAUGAGUGUGCACUUUCUGAGCUCAUUGUUGCUUUCUCUCGUGAGGGUCCAACCAAGGAAUAUGUGCAGCACAAAAUGGCUGAGAAGGUUGGUGAAUUGUUGCUGCAGUUAUUCUAUUUUGCUUCCGUUAUCGUUACUUAUAACGCUAAUUUUUAUCAUUUCAUCUGUUUGACUAUACUAUCUGCUUUUUCUGGUUGGCAGGCCCCAGAAAUCUGGAAAAUAAUUUCUCAGGGUGGUUAUAUUUAUGUAUGUGGCGAUGCUAAGGGCAUGGCUAGAGAUGUACACAGAAUCCUCCACACCAUAGUUCAAGAGCAGGUACAUGACUUGCUUAAAAUAUCAUUCCGAUUGGAUUUGAUUUUCUGAUUAUUCAUCCUUCUGGGUAUCAAAUCCAAAUGAUUUGUAUCGAACCUUUUACCUUCUCAUUUUCCAUUGUACCCAUAGAUAGCGAGAGUCUCUCUUUUUAUUACUGCAAAAUUCCAGUUCUACUCCAAGUCCUAUAAAUGUUGCGAUUCCACAUUACCCUCCUAAAAUAUUACAAAACCUGCAUUGUGUCCCAUCGACCAAUGGGCAGGCUGAUAUAUCCCAAUUAACAGUGACAAAAGGACAAACUGAUGUAAGUUUAUAGCCGAAGGGGGUAAUAUAUAGUUUUCAAUACUUCAGGUCAAUGAAGUGAUCUUAUAAUUAUAAUAGGACGCAAAUUUUUUCUUUUCUAUAUUUAAAGUUCUCUUCUCCUGAAAUAGUUUUCUUUGUUCCGCCAGUAUUUAUCUAAUCAAGUUCCUUAAUUUGAGUUUUCAGGGAUCCCUGGAUAGCUCGAAGACGGAGAGCAUGGUGAAAAGUUUGCAGAUGGAAGGGAGAUAUCUUAGGGAUGUGUGGUAAAACAGUGUUACCUUCAAUAGCUUCUACCUUUAAGAGUGAUAAAAACGUCGUUGCAUCAACACACUUUGCAGUAUCUUCUGAACGGCUACUAGUGAACCUCAGCAAGAGAAUAUGGGUGCUUUCAGGAGAAGCCUCCGAUAUAUUGGGCUGUUGCUUUUUUUAUUUAAAAGCUUUUUCAGAGUCUGCUUUUGUUGUCUUCAAUAUGUGAUUCUUUUGACUCCUAACUAGGAUUUAUUUCAUGUAUCAUACGGAGCAAUAUUUAAAUUAUCGGAAAUACAAGGACUGUUUUUAAGUAUAUGUUGAGUAAGUUGGUGUUCAACUGGUUUGCUUGUUUCCAUUUGGCGUAGCGAAUGAUCAGCGAAUGAUCGGAGUUAAUAUUUCAGAAUAUGGUUGGAUUGUUCUUUACAUCCUUGAUGUGUAGCAACUAUGUUGUUAGGAUUGCUCGAAAAAGCCUACUCACAUAAUCUUCUAAGUUUUGGUGUACUCAUUCAGUUUUACUCAAACAGUACUUUUGCUGAUGCCUAGGUCGGGCAAGGGCCUUUUUCUGUAGGCUUAUUCAACAAGCAUGCAAUCGAAAUAAAAGCUGAAAUAAAUUUUCAGAUCUCACUUAUGGACUAUGGAAAACUGAUCUAUUCGCAAGCAAUUCUGCUCUUGGAAACUAUACUACAAUUUCAAAGACUGAUGCAAGGGUAAACCACAACGACGCAUAGUUGGUUACGGGCGUAAUUGUGAAGAAGCUCAUUGAAGUUUAAUUUUGUUGCUCUAUUUAGUCAUUAAACUGUAAUUUCUAUUUCUCUACAUGAUCAUCCUGUGGUUCUUUGUUCGCGUUUUCAAACAGAGGGAUGUACCGAUCUCCGAAAAUUGAUCUAGUCAUAGCAUGGUGGCUCUUUCAACUAUAGCAUUAACUCCAGAGACUACAUCUAUCAACUGAAUCCUGCCACUAGAGAAAUUAGCCGAAGUGAUUUGAUUUAAAUAAAGAAUUAAAGAGUGAUUUAAUUGCUAAAAAAGAACAAAAAAUUGAAGAGCAAUGAUCUCCUUAAAAAAAAAAGAAAAAAAGAAAAAAAAAAAGGUCUAACCAAAUGUAUCUUUUUCGUCCAACCGUACCCCGAAUCUUAAAGGAUCCUAAGAGCGACCUUUUUCGUACCCAGUGACAAACUAGUUUUUCCAGAUGCACGCACCAAACAGAGGAGACUAAUAUAACUCGUCCCCGCGUAAAUUACCAGCCUCACAAUAGUCGUUAAGACAAAUUAACUCCAAACCUUCGAGAAACAAAUUACGCCACCAUCACUGUCAGUUUGUUACCCCUUCCUCUCUCUUUCCCUCCUCUCUCUCUCUCUCUCUCUCUCUCUCUCUCUCUCUCUCUCUCUAUUCUAGAAGCAAAGAAAAUUAGAUCCUCCUUUCUCUUUCCUGUGCCAUAAUAUCCCUACACGUAACGCAGCAAAACAUUAGUAUAAGAUCCCACUCUCCUCCAAAAUCCUCGCACCAUAUUCAUAAAUCAUUAACCCACACCGAGUUGGGGGGGAGAGCCCUAAUUACGUCCCCGUUUUUAACACCUCCCCAUGACCAUGCAUUCCCAUUCCAACGGCCAAGAUCUCCCCGAGCCCCCCUUCCAGUUCUGCCUCGCCGGCCCCUACUCUGCCGCCGCCGCGCUGGAGACCCAUCCCUUCCGCACCCCCCCACCGCCGCCUCCCGCGGCGAAGACGAAGAGCGCCUCCUCCGGCUAUCAGAGGCCGCCGCCUCGAGAUUCGCGCUCGUUCGAGUUCCGCCUCGCCGGCCCCUCCUCUGCCGCCGCCUCCGCCGCGGCGGAGACGCUUCCCCUUCGCACCCCUCCGCCGCCUCCUGCGGCGAAGACAAAGAGCGUCUCCUCGGCCUAUCAGAAGCUGCCGCCACAGAGGAUGCCGCCGCGGCUGGGGUGGAGGGCUCUUGUGUUCGGGCUGGUGAGGGUGCCGGCGGAGAUGGAGCUGCACGACAUCAGGAAACGCCAGAGGCGGCGGCAGCGGUGGAACUCUGCAGAGGAAUCGGCGGUGCCGCCGCGGCCAGAGUGCCGCGGAGUAGGGCAUGGGCCGUGGAAGCUGAUUCGAUCGCUGAGUUGCCGAGGGUUCGAGAGCACCGCCGUCAUCGCCUCGGCGGCGCCGUUGAGCUUCAUCUAGCACUUGGGAGGAGCGUGACUACGCUAGGAAUGUACAUACGAAGAAAUAAAAUUGUAGCUGAGCCUAUUUAUAUUACGAAUGUAUUACACGUAUUGGUCACUGCACUCAUUCACAAGUUCCAUUUAGAUUGCUGUACUUCAAUUUAACAGAAAGAUGAUGAUUUUUGAGAUGAUGUUAUCAUCACAGUAAUUUUUUUAAAAUAAGAUGUUAGCUGAUCCAUUGAUAUAAUAAAAGUAAUGUUAGAAUUAAAUUUUUGCCAAAAGAAACUCUUAGGUCUUGUUUGGUUGGGGAACUAUAUCUAAAGGUGGGAAUAAACUAUACCCACCCUUAGCAGGUUAUCUCCCAGGGGUGGAAUUCCUACCCCUUUUAUUAAAAAAAUUUUAAAAUUUUAAUUUAAUUUUAAAUUUAAAAAUUAUAGUUUGUAAUUUUAUAAUUAAAGUUUAUAAUUUUAAAUUUCAAAUUUUAUUUUUUAAAUUUCAAAUUUGAUAUUUAUAUUUUAAAAUUUAAAUUUGAUCUUAAAUUAAAAAUUUUAAAUUCAAAUUUUAAUUUUAAAUUUUAAAUUUUAAAUUUUAAAUUUUAAAUUUUAAAUUUUAAAUUUUAAAAGUUGAGAGUUUAAUUUCAGAUUUUAAAAUUUAAAAGUUAAAAUUUAAAAUUUAAAAAUAAAAAUAAAAAAUUUAAAAAUUUAAAUUCAAAUAUAAUGAGAGAUAAUAUUAUUUUACUAUCUAUAACUACUCACUAUCCUUCUUAUUUCAUCUUAUCUAACCAAACGCUAUUUUUUUUAUUCCUAUGAUUAAUCAAUUUUCAUCCAAACACAAAAUUGAUUUAAUCCCCGCUUAUACCUCAAUUUAUACUAUUCCUGGAAUAGCCACUUUUUGCUUAUCCCCGAACCAAACGAUACAUUAAAGUCUUGACAUUUAUAUCCAUAAAACACUUAGGUAAAUUGCACUAACAGUCUCUUAACUUUCGACAUUUGACACUUCAAACAAUUGAAAGUAUUUCACUUUAGUCCUUUAAGAAAAAAUUCCUUUAAAAAAAAAAAAAUCUGUUCAAUCGUUCGUAGGGCUGGCAAAUGAGCGAGCCGGCUCGCGUUCGACUCGCGUUCGACUCGAUAUUUGGCUCGCUCGAGCUCGACUCGAAAUUAAAUGAGCCGAGCUUGAACAAAAAAAAAGGCUCGAAAUUUAUUUCAAGCCGAGCUUGAGUAUUACUCGGCUCGUUCGAAUUAGGCUCGAAAAGCUCGAAAAGCUCGAAUAUAUAAUAUAGAACUAGGCUGGAAUACUAUUAAUAGCACCAAUGACUUGGUGCUAUUAAAUUUUCUACCCUUGGAUUAAAAAAUGUGUGGUUGGAAUGAUGCGGGCCCUCUAGGGUUGAGUGGGUGGUUAGUUAAAUAGUAUAAUCGAACGGUUAAAAAUGAUAAAAGAAGUAAAUCUAACGGCAGAAAACUUGAUAGCACCAAAUGUCUCGUACUAUCGAUAGUAUCCCAGCCGGACUCAUAUAUAUAUAUAUAUAUANUUCUAUACAAAUUAAACUAUUGAUCGUAUGAUGUUGAGAAUUUCAAGCAACUCGUUUAGGGCUCGAGCUCGCUCGACUCGAAAUUAGGCUCGCUCGAGCUCGGCUCGAAUUAAUUUCAAUCCAAGCUUGAGCUUAAAUUUAGGCUCAAAAUUAAUUUCAAGCCGAAUUUGAGCCGAGGUAAGCUCGCUCGAGCUCGGCUCGUUUCCACCCCUAAUCGUUCGCUACAAAUUAUCAACCAACCCUCCAUCCUUUGUAAGCAAUAUAAGAGGGUUUACUACAAGUGACCUAGGGGAUUCCUACCACCCAAUAUUAGCAAAACCAAAUGUAAUUUUUGAAAGAACAAGGACCAAAAUGAAACAUCCUAAAAAGGCUGGGACCCCUGUGCAAUAUAGCCAAAAAGUAAAAGAAUGAGCAGUGCAAGUCUAAAAACUACAAUAAACAGCAUACCUCACUCUCGUUAAGUUCAUGAAUUUCUUCAUCACACCAUCCAUGCGCAGAGCCAGAAAAAGAGAGCACAUCCAUCUCGUAUCGCAAGCAGAGAACAACAAAAUACCCACUUUUCCGAAGAACUGAGAUAAAACUACAGCAACAAUUUUUUUUCCCGCACUACUCAAUACUAAUGCUCAUGGUACUCUUCAGAGAGAAUUAUGUAGGAGGCAACAUAAGUUACAAUGCACUAGAAGUAAGUCAGUGAGACGAGAAUGGCGUACAACUAAAACAUUUGCAGCUCUUAAAAAAGAAACUUCAUUAUGCAGGAUGAGAAGUUCUUCAUCAUGAACUAUGCGACUGCUAAAUGCAACUGCCUCGUGCGUCAGUAAAAUAAGACAACGAAAUUAUAAGACCAUUAACUGCAAAUAGAGGGCAAUACAAGAUAAGCAACAAGAUGGAGAUGUUCAACAAAGAAAUUCAGCAGUUUCUAAAUUGUAAAGCGUCAUACAUUUCAUCUCUGGUAAUAGUCAAACUCCACUAUAGCAUCCUGUGGUUCAAAGUGCAGAGCUUUAUCACCCUGUGGUGGCUGUUUCAGUUUCUCAAAUUUGGGCAUGCGACGAACACAUGAUGGAUCAAACCUUUGCAAACUAGAAAAAUCAAUAAACUUUAAGCAAUUAAGCCUUCAUUUGCAGUGCUCUAGAUAAGUCGUAUGAUUGUCAUUAUGCUCAAUUCUAAUGGCAUUCCUAAGAGGGAACCCACGACAGCAGCUACAGAGUAAUAGAGUUUUACACCUCUCACAGGAGAUGUAUCACAAUUUGUCCCUUUCUAAAUUCAGCACCAGUUUUAGCGCGCAACUCAAAAUGAAAUGGCCUUAUAGUGCUUUACUGCGUAAGAAAAUCAAAUGCAACUCUCUUACAGAGUAAAAACGAUGUAGAAUCAUCACGCAGCAAUGCCAAAAUAAUUAGACCAUCGACAACAUUUCCCACAGAAGCUGCAUUAGGUAUAUCUUACAAUAUAGAGGGCAAAUCAUGUUAACUACUGAUCUCCACUCUACCUGAAACUAGCAUAUGCAUAACAUACUGAGCUAGUUAUAGUAAGCAAGAUAAUGGUUAUUUUCACACUAAACCGCCCAUAAAAAACAAAGGAAAAAUGAAGAGUAAAAAAAAAUUACAUUCCAUGUAGUCACAAAUCUGUGGACAAACAAGAGCUCGUAGAAUUAUGCAAAUAUUCCUAUCGACUCAGAGCACAGCAGCCACAUAUAAUCUAACCAAGCGAAAUUCGAGGAAAAAAAGAAAAGAAAAGAGAAAUCAUAUGCUCACCCGUACACUACGUACACUAGGAAUUGAAUGCCACAAAACUCAAGAAGUAAGUGCUUGCAAAGAAUCAACACUACCAGGUUAACCGUAAUACAAACAUGAAUCUAAUCAAUUACACAAGUAAACCCCACUAGCAUAGGUAUGGCUAACCUCAUUGAAGUGCGCGAUGCCAUCGGAAACCGGCCGGAGAGACACACCGGACAAAGUGUUCGCCCCCUUCGCAGCAAACUCUACCAUACCAACAACUUCAAGCUCGCCAUCUUGCGAGUCCUGAUCAACCGGCAUCCGUGCCCUGAGCCGGCCCGCAGGGCCUUUUAAAGGAAUGUCGGCAACGUGCCACCUCAGCUCCCUCUUUUCUCGAUUCAGAACAGCCUUUGGUGACACAUUGAGCAACGUAGGGUCGACGGGCAGCUUCAGAAUGAAGGUCACAUUGUUUAGCGGGGCGGGCAAUGCCGGGUUUGAAGCGUACUGGAUCAUUACUGAAAGCAAGGUUCCGCUGUGGCGCUUCACAAGACGAACCCUAAGGGGAAGAGGGGUGGACCUUGGCUGAAGACUAUACUUCAUAAUGGGGAUCGGCUCUUCUUUAGAUUGAGUUCUAACAUGGAACAGUCCAUUCUCUAAGCUGCUCACGCAAGAGCUCUGUAAAACGGCUCUUUUGAUACCUGAGGUGCCCUCGAGACGGAAGGAGAACUCUGUUUCCUUCCCUGCAGCUUUCUUCGGAGGCAGGGUUCUUAAAAAGAUGGUUCCUUUGAGCCCCACGCGCGCCAGGAGAGACUCCUUGAACUCGGCAUUGAUCUCUUCCGAGAUGUACAUCUCCGGGCCUGUCAUUUCUGCAGUCUUCGAUACUAGAAGGUUCUCCAGAGGAGUACCAGCGCCUGCUGCUGCAGCGGCCGCUGCAGCAGCGGCGGCGGGGCCCUGGCUCAUGGCGAGGAGCUCGAGGCCUGUGAGCUGGGGGUCUUUGGGUGCCUUCUUCUUGGUCGUCACGAAUUCUGAUGCAUCCAGGCCGCCGCCGAACGCGGUGUUGAACCCUUCGAACGCCUCGGAGAGCGAGGCCUCCUCACUGCCGAACUCGACGCCGCCGUACUCCCCUUCGAAGCCCUCGACGCCGAUGAAGGUGGGCUUCGUGGCUUCGGCCGGAGGGAGCGUCGUGACCUCGAGCCCCGCGAGCGCCGCGGUGGGGUCAGCGGCGGCGGAUGCCGGAUCCUUGCUCUUCUUGAAGCCCCCGACUAGGGCCUCCUCCGGCUUGUUGAUCAACUCGCUGGCGGCGAAAGGGUCCUUCUCCUCGGGGGGCUCGUCCGGCUGGUCCUUCUGCUGCGGCUGCUCAUCGGCGGGGGGGACGGAGGGGGCAAUGGCGGCGGCAAUCUCCUCCCCUGCGGCCAAGGUUUCCGGGGGGAGCUCGAAGAUCGCAUUGGAGAAGGCUUCGAGGGUGGCGCGGCGCUCGACGGCGAGGGACUCGGGGCCGCCGGCCCAGGAGUCGGCGCCGCGGACGCGGGACUCGGCGUCGGGCGCGGAGCUGACCAUCUUGGCGAUGCUCUCGCCGUGGAUGGAGGAGAGGAUGGCGGCGAGGCGCACGGAGCCGACGCCGCGGAGGACGAUGUCGAGGGCCAUGUAGACCUCCGGGUACUUGCGGUGGAGCUUCUCCGGGGUGACGUCGACGCCGCGGCACGCGGCGACGACGACGCUCACGGCCUGGUUCACGGUGUUGAUGCAGUCGAACACGUUGGUCGCGGCGCGCGCGUGGUCGUCGGCGGUGGUGACGCCGAGGACGUAGAUGGAGUUCACGAGGCGGUAGACGACGCGGUACUUGGACUCCACGCCCACCACGAGCUGGCCGCUGGAGGCCGCGAGGGGGUCGUCGCCGAGGGCGGAGUCGAGGUCGUCGGACGCGGGCGGCGCCGCGGCGGCGGAGGACUUGUGGGACGCCGCGGCGGCGGCGGCGGCGGCGGCGGCGGAGGAGGAGGAGGAGGAGAGGGCGAGGCGGGUUUGGCGGAAGGCGGAGAGGGCGGCGAGGGCGCGGGAGGGGGGGAACCACUCGCGCGUCUGGAGGAGGAUGUCGGUGCCGUUCGUGGGUUGGAGGGAGAGGGCGAGGCACGCCAUUGACGAGCUCCGCGGACGAGAUCUCUAGGGUUUGGAGAUCUAGGGCUUCACCUUGCGAUUCCUCUUCUCCUCUCCCCUGCGAUCGGGGAGUUAGGGUUCGGGGAGCUGAGGAAGAGGAGGAGAUCUAUGCUCCGAAUCCUCGAUUGGAUCGAGGGGUUAGGGUUCGGGGAGCCGAGGAGGGAGGAGGAGGAGGAGAUCUAGGGUCUCGCUCUCUCAGAUCUGCUAGAGAGGAGAGGGUAGAGAGAAAUGGGGCGUCGUCGAUCGCUGGGAAACGAGAAGAGAGAAGCGGGGAAAGUUUUUUUGUGGCGUAACCCCACAAGCAGUGAAUUGUAGACGGUGCCGAGUUUGCCUUUCAUUAGAAGUCGGCGACGGCAAUCAUCUGAGAGUGAAGACGUUGCCGUAUUCAUUGCUGAAUGUGAGCGCAUACCUGUUUAGCUUGCCAACCCCCCAAAAUAAAAGUGUGGACCAUCGAGGUAAAGUUUUUGGUUUUGAUAUCAAACAAAAAAGCAACUAAACAGUAUCAUGUCGCAUUAAAAAAGCUUGCUGAUUAUUGUGAAAAGAAACUAAACAAAAUCUUCCAUAAUGUUACAGUUUUGUAUUUGAACAAGUACGGUAGCUAAUGCUCCAACAUUUCCAGCCCCGAAGUACAUGAUGUUACAAUUGAAGAAAUAAUCCUUCUCUGUAGAUCUUUAUAGCCCAAUGCUAGCUUCAAGUCCCAACUUGCAUUAACCCUGCAAAUUUAAAUAUGUCAAGACCUAUAGAAAAGAUUAACGUGCAUUCAAAAAAUGACAAAUCACAGUGGUUAUUAACGGCUAUUUGGCUAUAGAUUGAAGCUGCUAAAAAGGUGCUUUUGAGUUGACCCCCCAACAACUUUCCACUACAGAGGAAGUAGAGGUUUCAAGUAGGAACUUAUGCUUUGGGUCUCAGAAGCACAUUUCAGCUUUCCGCUGCUACAAAAGCUUCAGACUUCUUAUUCUCAAAACAUCUGGUUAUUGCUUCGCAUAGUAGAGAACUUUGUUAGAGAAGAUAGACCAAACAGGCGUUAAGACAGUACCGAUCGAAAUCAUCCGAGUUGCCUAAUCCUUCCAGCAUGGGACUAAAGAUGGAUAAUACUGUUUCGAGCACCAUCCUAUCAUUCUCGCAUAUCUGAUGAGAAAAAAACAUGCCGAUUAGAGUCCAUUAAAUUAAAUUAAGUCAAGCAUUGAGCACACCAAAUAUCAAAUAUAGAAGUCUAAAUUGCACAAAGCCCACAAUAGAUAUAACUGAUUAUGCUGUCUUCUGAAACAUUGAAAACUACAUAUAUUACCCUUAAACUACAAAUUUUCAUUACUUCGCCGCCUCCAUCAGUAUUCCUUUCAGGUUGUAUUUGUGGCUUUGCUCACAUGUUAAUAAUGGGUGUAAAAUAUGGAAGAUUUCCUGGAGCGGAAGUGAAAAUCACAAUUUUUACACGAAAUUUCCUGCAUUUUAGCCUUUGGAAAUUACAUGGAUCUUCUCAGCUGUGUGACAUUCAGAGGGAAAAACUCACAUCUAUUCUAGAAAUCUCAGCAGGGGAUUCAGCAUUUUGACAAUUCAGAACAGCGCGGAGAUGGGUGAGCAACCGAGAAGGGAGGUCAUAUGUAUACGGCUGGUCAGAUUUGGAAAACCAUGUUCCGCGAACCAUAUGAGUUAUUUUACUUGUUUCUUCCAAUGUGCUGCUAUCAUUCUCCACAUUAGAAGUGUCAAAAUCUGCAAAAAAUAGCACAAAAAAUUGGUAAAAAAAUAUCCAAGGAAAAUAGCCAAUAAUAUAAUUUCCAUCCAUAAUGAUGCAUAAAUUAGAUUGCAAACUUCUAUGCUCUUCAGAAGCAGGAAACCAGGCAACUGAGAAAAAAAGAUAAGAAAAGAGGUCCAAGAACAUAAUGGAAAGGAUGCUUUGGAAGAGUCACAAAAUUGGCAACAAAAUAAGGAAACCACAUAAAGAAGUCAUUAUAGUUACACAUUUGAAGUGAUUGAAUGAUAAUUAGCUGAGAGGAAUAUCAGGAUAGGAUUUAUCCCUCAUCUUUUCAUGUAAUAAUCUAGCAUGCUUCCCAACAUUAAAAAUGGAAGAUUACCUAGAGGUAUAAUAUCAUAAGGGUUGUCCCCUUUUGGAAGGAAACCAUAAAAGGUGACAAGAUGUGAUCCAGACAGGCUUCCGUAGCUAAGAUAGCAUUGCUCCCCUGCCUCGCAUGGUCUUGACAAUGGGAACUUCAAUGAUUUUGUUACUGGGUCUACUCGUCCAUAGUGAAGAAUGUGAGGGCAUAACUGCAAAAGAAGAGUAACAAAAUGGAAACAUUGAAAGCUGAAACAAAAGAAUGAAAAAAGAGAAGGCCAAAUUGCAGAACCCAUUUAUAUUGUGAAUUUCACUUUGCCCCCCAGAAAUUCCUUUGAACUACAAGAUUUCAUCAGCUUGCCUCCUUCAUCAUUGUUCUGCUAGGUGCACUUCGCCCAUAGUUCAAUGGAAAAAUUAUAGGUUUCAAAUUUUAGAGGGGAGCAAUGUGAACACCGCAAUAUUUAUAGAGGGGUUUUUGUCACUUCUAACAAAGAAGUUCUAAGUUGACUUGGCAAACCGAGUGAUUAAGAAGCCCAGCAAUUGGAAUCAGGCAAGUCUUCAAUUUCCCAUCAGUUAGGACUACUUUCAUGCUGUUAGAAUACCAUAGUUCACAAGCCCACAGAUAUUUCUCCCAUGUGUAUAACUCUGGUUUGAAUAAAUCAGGAUACUUCAUGGAUAAAGCAGGGAAUAACGUAUCGUACUGUUGACGCAAGUGCUGAAAGAAGAACAAAAAACAUUCUUCAAAUUGAACCUCUGGAUGGCUCAAACUUGUUUUUUUGAUUUUGCAACUACAUGCCACUUUUUCAUCUUUGGGGUGAAAUAUCUUUUCUAUAGACUGGAAUACUCCUCUCCGGUACUUAAAAGUGCAUAAAAUUAUUACAAUGUCAAAUGAGGAUAUUCUAGUCAACCAAAAGAUGUUUCUUUAAAGCUGGAAGAAAGGAAAAAGUAUGCUGAAAAAACAAAUAGAAAAGAAAAAAAGAAACAAGUGGCCUGUUUAUGCAGAAAGCCUCAUCAAGGUAUAAAGGAAAAUAAUGGCACCUCUUUAGCUUGUGUUAGUUCUUCAAACAAAAGUGUUCCAUCUAAUACAGCAAGUGCAUCAAUUGCAAAACGCAACCCUGAAAACCAGUAGAUAAUAUUUAUUUUAUCUUUCAUUGGCAACUAUUCAUAUAAGGCUUGACAUAUAACAGUGUUUGCAGCAGUCACAAGAAUGGGUUGUAGUUUAGAUUCUGACAACUUUGAUUGCAGCCAUCACAAUACGACAGAAUAUUAACUUUCAACUGGAGUAAAAUAAAAGGAAAAACAUUCUUUUACCUAUUUUUUGGGGAUGCAUUAAUUCAAAGGCCUCACAAUGGUAUAAAGCUCAAUCAUGAUUAAAAAAAAAAGAUGCUUUCUUAUUGAUGUGUUUACAGUGUUUCUGCAAAUUCUGUGUUUAAACGCAAUACCUGUGUUAAAUUCUUCUGGAAGCGUUUCAAAGUAAAUCCUGAAUUUUGAACUGGGAUUAUACCUCUCUCUCAUGCUCCACAAUAGUAACAUUGUCUCAGAGGUAAUAUCAUCCAAGUCUUUUAAUACAUCAAACUACAGGCAUGACACAAUAUAAAAAGAUAAGCAGCAAAGUAGUAUAUCUGAAGUAUUUAUCAUCUAAUAGAUAGUACUGCUUGCUACGGAAGUUUCGAAAUGGCAAGCUAAGGAUCAAAGUGUAGUUAGCGAGAUGACGCAGUUCAUCGUUCAAUGGAGCACACCUUUUUUUUCAGUCAAUUUUUAUAGUUACAUCGUCCCAAUUACUGCUGUUAGCAUUAUCAUCUUAAAAUCAGUUGAAGAUUGUUGGAGUACCUGUUAAGUGUAACUCUUCCAUUGUUGAAUCAUCUUUGUUAUUGAAGAUUCAUUAACUUCUCAACUGGCCAAUGUUUUACUUGAUUUUAAUUUAAUUUUUAACUCUUUUAGAAAUAAAAUCAGAGGCAUAACUUGACCCAAAUAUGAAAUGACAGCAAAAUGCACAGAGCAUACCACAUCAGAUCCAUAGACAAGGUCUUCAGAUAUGAUAAGAGACUCUGGUACUUCCAGGGCAACGUCUCCAAUGCUUAAAUCUUCAGAAGCCACUGUUCCUCUCCCAGCUCCUUCAAAAACUAAACAAAGAAUCGCCUAUCAUACAAAAUUAUGCAAACUUUAAACUAAUUAUAAAAGUAGAAUUGAGAUUGCGGUUUAAGACAUUCUAACAACUCUCGCCCACAUAUUACUACUUAUAUCAGACAAAAGAGCCUUAAGAUAUUUCCCUUCAUAAUUAUCUUAAUAACCCAAUUUAACGUAAGAAACACAUAAGUGCCGCAUGCCUAAUGAAUCUGUCAAGGGGGGGUUCUCACGGUGCACGAAGAUUGUAACCCUGGAGCACUUAAGUGCAAAAAAUGAAACCACAAGGUAGCGUAGUGCAUAUGUGCUAAACCCGGAAGGAAUCCCUAAAACGAAGUACGCCGCAGAAGUGAAAUCACCAUUAAUUUUUGGUGUAGUAAAGUGUUACUAAGGCAAUAGAAUCCUAAAUUUUUUUUUUCAAAACUUGCACCCAACAUCUUAUGAGGUGCGAUUAGCAUAUAGAUUUAGACUUACAUGCUACCUUCAAUUUUGUUUUAACACCAUGACUUUCUCCCCAUUUCAGCAGCGAGUCCUCUGCAUCACCAUUGAAAUUCAUAGCAAUCAUUUCAACUUUGUUCUCCAUCCCCAAAGAUUUUAUCAUGCCAAUUGUUGCAGUCUCUAGCACUUGGAGAAGUUCUAUUGCAUCACCACUAGCAGUAGCAAGCACAGAGUGUAUGGUGUUCAGUACUGAAUUAAGGGAUUCCAGUUCAUUCCUUGAGCUGAACGGACCAAAAUCAUCGUCUUCAGCAAAAUAAAGCUCUAGCUGAGCAAUAAGAUGCACUCAAUUAGUGAUAUGUGAGUAAAUAAAAUCUACGAAAGAACUUACAAAUGCAUACUACCUCAUGCAUAUAUAGUAAUCUAGCAGUUUGGACCAUCUGAUCUAAUGUUUUCAGCAUCCCACUUUUGGAGGAUGAAACUGGAAAAUCAAAAUUGUAACUGAGAUUCCUGACAUUUGAUAAUCUCUGCAGUUAGAGCAAAAUGGUGAGUACCAGAAGAGAUAUUUAAUAUUAAGAAAAUGAGCAACUUAAGCAAUUUGCUUACAAUAGAAGCAAUAAAUGGAUACGCCAACUAUUUGAGAAUCCAGAUAAACUAGGCAUCCUAUUUUGUAUUAUAAACACAAAAAAAAACAACUAAAUGGGUCCAAAUUUUCAUAUUCUCUCAAAAAGAAAAUGUUAAUGAAGGUUUCCAAUUUUGAUCCAUGUAGCGCCUUUUUCAUGAUUAUCUGAAGAUACAUGAGAUGUAAGCUGCCUUCAAACUGGAUCUCACAGCAAUUCAUCAUUUUGACCAAUUAAAACUUAUUCAUUUGUUCCUUCCUCCUACUUGCGAGCUUGAUGAACAACCAAAACUUCGAAAACGGAUAGAAGCAAAUCCUUCAUAUCCCAUAAUUAAACUACUCACAUGAUUCCAACUUGCAAUCAUCACUACAUAUAAAAACAUGCAGUAUCUUACCUUAACAGUAGAACAUUUAAAACUUUAUAAAUUUUUUAUUUUACUAGCUAAGUUUCAGGUGCUUCUAAAAUAGGCAGCUGAACUUUCAAAUUUUUUAUUUUACUACAUAAUUCUAACUUUCUUGUGAAAUAUAACACGAAUUGAUGGAAUAAUAUGUUACUUGACGAAAUACUCAAAAUUUAAAUUUUUUAAAUUCAGGUGCUUAUUUCAAAAGAUUGUAAUAUUAGGUAUCUAUUUCAAAACGAACUAUAUGCUCUAUAGUUCAUUUAAGUUUCUAUACUUCCCCACCUACAAAAUUUAACACAAAAAAAAUGAAAAUUUUAAUUAGGGGAGUAGGUUACUGCGUUAUUUUUGCGGAAACAAAGUAAAACACCUUACCAUCUUCUCUGGGAACAAAGGAUCCUCUUCAGAGAGAAUUGGAAGUGAUAAAGUAACCACUCCACUCCUCUCCAUUUCCUUCUUCGUCGCCAUUCCUAACUCCUAUCAAUGAACGAAGUAACGAAGGAGAGCUACAUCAAAUCGAGCACGAUCGAAGUAAAGGAAACCCUAGAGUAAGCGAGGAUUUAGGGUUUAGGGUUUUACCUGGGCAGAGGGGAAGAGAGAAUAGGGAGUCGCCAUUGCAGUGAGGGAAAAAGCUCGGCAAUAAUGGGCUCGGCCGAUGCGGUUUAGGCCCGGCCCAAUUAAGGCCUGGUUCGCUAAAAAUAUGAGACUAAGUAGCCCAGCCCAAGCCCUAAAAUUAAAAUUAUAAUUUGUGGAAAUGUAUUCACUAGGUGUCAUAUUUAGGAAAUGGGUUUAAAAACUUAUAAUUUUUUUUUAAUGUAAUGCAUUUUAAAUGUUACAUUGGAGCCGAUGAUUUAGUCUUUUCUUUAUUUUAAAAUUUUCAAGUUCAAAUCAAUAAUUUCUUAAAUAAUAUUUACCUUGUGUAUACUAUGUUUAGUUCCUUAACUUUUUCACCCAAACUGUUUUAGUAAUAUCAUCAAGUUCUAGUUUUAAUGAAAUGUCCACAAACUUUUAUUUCGAAAAAAAAAAAAAAAAAAACUCCAUCAAAGUGCGAUUUUGAAAGGCCCAUAUGGAUGAUUAAAUUUGUUCAAACUUAUAUAAGUAAAUAGAUAAUUAUUUUUUAGUACAUUUGUAAAUUUUCCAACUAAAUAAAGUCAACAUAGCUCGUUCGAUCCGAAUAAUAUCAACUUGUUCUUUUUAAUGUCUCUAGAUACAUUAGCUAGAUGUAUCAAAUUAAGAAAUGUUAAUUUUGAUCAAUCAAAUGAUACCAAAUAAGUUGACCGAGCUUCUAAAAACAUGUUCUAUAUUCGUUAGAUCCAUAAAAAAUAUAUUUUAUACACUCAAUGUUUGUCACAAGCCGAUGGAGUAGUGAGAACUAUAUUUAUUUUCAUUAGAUCCAAAUAAAUGUAUAUUAUAUGCGUUAUUACAGCCAAACUUUAAUGAUUAAGAAAUUUUUUUUAACACUUUUUUCCCAGUAUAUUUUUUUAACAAAGCUAGUGAUCUUUUCAUAUAUAAUACUUGUUACAUCGCGAUCUUUGCAAAUGUUAAAGUAUGUAUCAUGCAUUUGAAUAAAAUACUAUAGCUAACCUAUCAUGUCGAGGUCUCGUACACAGAUUACCUAUUGUAUAGAUAACAUGUUGGACUUAGUUUAUGCAAUAAAUAAUUUUAUACGUACGGUACCAUGUCUAUUUCUUAAUGGAUCAUCUCUUGAAACAUGGAGCAAAUUUUUAAGUAUUUCAAGUUAAAAAUGGGCAUAAUUGGCCUCUAACUUAGUUUUUCUUUCCAACUUUUAUUAGUUCAUAGCUUUGUAGUUUUUUUUUUUUUUUUUUUUUGGGAAAAGAUAGCAUGCUAUUCGCUUUCAUUUAUUUCAUUUAGAAAUAAACAUAGCUGCAAAUGUGAAUCAACUAGGAUUCAAACUUGGGUCUCGAGUAUCAACCACCGAGGGCCUGUUUGUUUCGACGGAAGUUGGGUGGAAGUGGGACGGGGAAAGUGAUUUUCGGUGAAAACUAACCACUUCCGCUGUUUGGUUCACCGUAAGUUUAUUACGCCCGAAAGUUCAGUUCACCCAAACUAAGGAACUUGACUUCGCCCUCCCAUGGGGCGAAGUCAAUUUCGGUGAAGUGAAAAAAAGGCAAGAAUGGAUUAAUGUGUUAGGGUUACCUCUUCAUUUCAUCCAAAUAUAUUCAAUUGUGAAAAUAAUUAAAUUUUUUAUUUUGAUUGUAUGUCUAAAAUAUGAUCAAAUUUGAUUAGGUAAGCUUUAAUAUAUUUUUUGUUUAAUUUGUAUAUUUAGAAAAUGAUGAAAAAUAAAUUUGUUAAAUGUUAAUAAUUUUUUAACUUUAGAAUUUUAUUUGUUGCAUUAUUAUAAUUUAUAUGCAAACAAAUAAUAUAAUUUUUUAAAAUUUUAUUUUAUAAUUAUACAUAUAUAUAAUUAUAUACAUAUAUAAUUAUAUUAAUUUUUAUUUAUUAUAAUUUAUUAUUCACUAUAAGUUAUAAAAUAGACAAUAAUAUCACUUUGGAGGUAAGUAUACCGGGGGUGGAGAGCUCCACUUUUUACGUCAUCUACUUCCUACCAAACAAACAACAGAACUCGCAGAACUGCACUUCCACAGUUAAAAACAAACAGCAGAAGUGAACUAAUUUUCACCCCAACUCCACUUCAACCCAAAGUCCACUUCCACCCCAAGUCUACUUACGUUGAAACAAACAUGCCCCAGCUCUUUGCCACUUGCUUCAGGGACGGUCGGUGUAGAAUUAACUUCAGUAGCUUAGGAAUACAGUGAACCAAUUAAUAGUUUUUUUUUAAAAAAAAAGAGAAAUAAGACAAUUGUGCCAAUAUAGUUAUUGUACUUGCCUAUUGACUUUGAGAAUGACAUUAUUGUCACAACAUAUAUUAUGUAUCGAUGAUCCAAAGCAAGUGAACCAACAAAUCAGUACAGCAUAAUUAAUUUGUACAACUCAUCCACAAAUAAAAGAAAAAAAAAAAAAAUUUGAGCCUUGUGUCACGGACUAAACGAAUUUGCUCGCAAAAGUCUGUGGCGCCCACUUCCUGCUCGAACAAAACCUCCGUCAGAAUGCUCCUUCGGAGAAUGGCCCACUGUCGAGGAAAAGUCAGCGAAAAAUAUUUUGUCCGUGACACUUGGCUUCGUUGGAAAUAUAAGUGUAUCUAUCUGUUGUGAAAAUUCCAGAGUAACAGGACCCUGACCCUGCUUGUUUCAACCAAAGUGAAAAAUAAUAAAAUAAUUUUUUAUCAUAAAUAUUGAUAUUUUUUAUUUGGUUCACUGUAAUUUUAUAUUUAUUAGUCUAAAUAGUCUAAUUGAGUUCAGGCUCGGGCUCACCCCAAGCUUAAGUAAAUUACUAUGAUGAAUAAAAUGAGAAAAAAAAAAACAAAAUAUAAAUCAAUUUCUCAUAUCUUUAACUUUUACAUCAUUCAAACAAACAACAGAAUUAGAAGAACUUUAGUUUCACAAAGCUACAUAAACCAAAAAAAAAGAGAGUAAUUUUUAUCUAAACUCUAGUUCACUCGAUAGUCUACUUCAUCCUAAUUAAACUUCGUCUUUGAUUAAACAAAUAGGUCAUACUUAGGUAAAAUUAAGGAAUUAGUCAUAAUCAUUAAAAUACCGAAAUUAUUUUGUCAUCUUAUGGUUCUUUUUUUUUUAAGAAAAAAAUAGCAUGCUAUCUGAUUCAUUUAGUUUCCUUUUACAAAUAAAUUUAGCUAGAAAUAUAAAGCAAUUAUACUUCGGUACCAACUAUUAAAUUCUUUACCAUUUCACUAUUCUAUAGUUUAAAAAAUUACACUAAAUUAUUCCUAUGGUUUAGCUUAUAUUUACUUUCUCAGCCUAUAAUUCAAAAAGGUAUACUGAAUUAUUCUGUGGUUAUUAAAAAAUUUUAAUUUGUAACCUUACUUGUUAGUAGAUUUUUUUGAUAGAAAUAAAAAUAAAAUUAUAGAAUAGUUAAAUGCACCUGUUUAAACUACAGUAUGAUAAAGUAAAAUUAAACUAAACCACAUAGAAACAGAUUAAAGUUUAUCCUAUCAUUAAAUAUGGAGCUAAAUCUAUGACAUAUGAACCCUCCAUAGCCUUACCUCCAUCAUAAAAGAGAUAGUUUCAUAAUCAAGUAUCGUAAAAUUGAGAUAUAUUAAGUAAACCUAAAGAGGAGUAGGUCCCUUGUACUUUCGAAAAUAUGGAGGGUUACGUGUUUGUAAGUUAUUUUUGAUAAUAUAGGAUAUUCGAUUCGAAAAUCAACUCUGUUAAGCAUAAUAUAGUAUACUACUGGAAUUAUUUAGAAAUCAAAUUUCAUAAUUUUUUGACAUUAUUUACCAAGUGGUCGAAAGAUCUGAAAAAUGACUAUUUUAACGGUCGAUGUGGCGCGUUUUUAAGUUCAACGGUGUAGAAUAAUCCAAAUUAUAUGAAACAUUAAUAAAAAAUUCUACUUAAUAUCAAUAGCAAGAUCAAUACUUUUGAUUUAAAAUUUGAGUCUUUUAUCACUGUUUUUUAUGAUAUUUUUAUUUUCAACCGUUCAUUUUGAGACUACUUGUUCACUAGGCAGAUGAAGUCAAAAAAUUAUAAAGUUUGAUUUCUAAAUAGUUCCAAUAAAAUAGAUCAUGUUUAAUAAAAUUAAUUACCGAACCAGAUGUUCCAUCAUCGAAAAUAAUUUAUAAAUACGGAGACCUCCGUACUUUCAAAAUCCUAGAAGCGAGGCUCACCUAAAAAGUAAGGUCUACGAUUGUUACAAUUUACUCCGAAAAUUGGAUCUGGCCUUAUUAUGUUAAUUUAGUAUUUAGACACCCUGUUUAGAUUCCAUGCGAAUCAAUCAUUCUUUUAUUAUAGGAGUGAUUUUCCUAUUUUAUAUUUAAUAAUCUACACUCUAUCUAGUAGAGAUGUCAACGGGUCGGAUUCGGGGCUGAUUUUUAAAAGUCCGAACCCGAACCCGACCAAAAAUCCGAAACCCGAACCCGAACCCGAACUCGAAAAUUUGAACCCGAAACAAUUAUUUUUUUUUUUAAUAUUUCAAAAUAUAUUAUAUUAAAUUUAAAUUUUUAAAAUACAAAUUCAAAUAUAACAUCAAAUUUUUAUAUAUAUAUUAUAUAUAAUACAAAACAAGUUCGGGUUCGGGUCGGAUUCGGGUUCUAGUCGGAUACAAUCAAAAUCCAUAUCCGAAUCCAUAUCCGUCGGAUUUUUAUUUUUUAUAUCCAUAUCCAAAUCCAUAUCCAUAUCUAUCGGAUAUAUCCGUUUCAUUCGGGUUCGGAUUCGGAUAAAAUUUUGGGUAUCCAUACCCAUUGACAUCCCUACUAUCCAGUCCUACUAAUCCAAGCUAGUCAAAUUAAUCUUGACCCAUUUGUUCGAAGAUAGGCUACACGGCCCUCUUUUUUUCAAUUUUUAACAAAUAUAUAUAAGAAUAUAAAAUGAGACUAGCUAACUUAGGGGGUGUUUGGUUCUGCGUAAAAUAACGCGAAAAAUUAUUUUUCAGUGAAAAAUAUUUUUCUGUUCGUUUGGUUCCACGUAAACUAAUUUUUUCAUAAAAGUAUUUUUACAAAUUUGGGAAAAAGAGUCUGUUUGAUUCAACGUAAAACUGUAAAAAAUAAUAUUUCGUAAAAAAAAUGAUAAAAAAAGUUUUAUAUUUUGUAGUGCUUGGUUUAUAGGAAAAAAAAAAUAGUUCUUUAUCAACAUUUGUUUGACUAAAUGAAAAAAGUUCACAUUUGUUUGGAUCGAUGAAAAAAAAAGAAUGAAAUUUUUUUUACAUAGUUUGAAUUUUGUUUUCUGCCGAAUUGCAGAGAAAGAAAACUUAUUUUUUUUUCCAAAUUCGUAAAAUAAUUUUAUAGAAAAAUAUUCUUACGUCGAACCAAACAAACGAAAAUUAUUUUUCAUACCGAAAAUAAUUUUUCGGUUCAUUUUACGUUGGAACCAAACACCUCCUUAGCCUAUUUGGUGUCCUCAUAUGAACAUAUGCUAGCCAACUUUUUUUUUUUUUUUUUUGAGAAAGAAAGGUGUACCGCAUACUAUCCAUUUCGUUUAUUUUAUUUAGAAAUAAUUUUUUUUUUUUUUAGAGAUAGGUAGCACGCUACCCACUUUGUUAAUUUUAUUUAAAAAUAAACUCAGCUAAAAAUGUGAAUCAGUGAGGAUUCGAACUUGGGUCUCGGAUACCAACCACCAAAUUCUUUACCACUUGCUCUAGAAACGGUCGGUCAUUUAGAAAUAAACUUAGCUGGAAAUGUGAAUCAACUAGAAUUCGAACUUGGACCUCGGGUAACAACCACCAAACUCUUUUGCCACUUGCGCUAAGGACGGUCAGUUGCUAGCCAACUUUAUUGGACCAGCACUUCUUCAACUUAGUCCACCACCCUCUUCAAAGUUUUCAAGCUUGUGGACUCCAAUGGCAAUGAAUGAAAUUUCAUUAUUUAGUUUGUUUUUGCACAUUGGUCAAGUUGAUGAUCCUUUCUUGUGGGGUCUCACAUUGAUGACUUGAAUGAACAUGUAAUUAUUUUCAAGAGCUAAUUAGUCCACUAGGUCAAUUGCGAAUCGCGCUAAGAAAACUUGCAAUUCAUCUCAUCUCUUUUUUUUUUUAUUUUUAUUUCAAUUGGUUUGAAUUUAGGUUCACCUAUGAAUUAACUGCAUUGAACAUGUCACAAAUUAAUGGUGUAGGUGUUAGAUGUGACUCGAAAUCUACUAUCGAUUCAGGUUCGGAUUUACGACUCACCGACAGUUUCGCGGUGCGACCAAUUUGGAAAAAAAAAUUAUUGAGGAAAAAUGAAUGUCUGUGGUGGGUAGCGGAGGGCUCGGGCCGACAGGCCCGAGCCCGUAGAGGCGUGUGAUCGUUUUUGCCCUAGAAGCGUGUGAUCGUGGUCGGUUGUAAUCUGAAGAAUAUUGUAUUCCCUUUUUCGUUUCAUAGUGAAGAUCUCUCCUUCCUCGCCCGUGGUUUUUUUUCCUGCAAAGAGUUUUCCACGUAAAUCUGUGUCUCUUUAUUUUCUGCUUGUGGUUUGAUUGUUUUUUGUGUUCGUCAUUUUGUUUCCGUUUGUGUGUUUGUCGUACCAGUAGGUUUUGAUUUGAAUGCGACGUAUUUAUUAUUGUAAACUAGCAGAGCACUUGCAAUGUAUGUGCACGGUAAAUUGAUAAUGUAUCUUUGAGAUGUAGUAAAAAGGUACAAUAAUAACGACGAAGAACUAUAUUAUAUAUUCACCAUAUUUUGCUUUAUGUAUAUGCUGAUAAAAUUAAUUGAGAAAAUAAUUGAUGAAAUUUUAAUCCAUAAAAUAAAUAUAGUAGGAAAAUAAGGGCUCAUCCAUGACAAGAAGAUUUAAACAAAUAUGGAGAUUUGAGAAUCUAAAUUGCAUCUAUUGUGUUAUUUGAGAAUGGCCUGUGGUGGGGUUCCAAACAAAGAAAAUAAAAUUCGUAAAUAAUUCAUGCAUGCAAUGGAGACGGGAGUUUAUUGAGAACAUUAUUCGAACAUAAUUUUACUAAAAAAUUGUGCAUUUCACCAAUGUUAAUAAGAGAAAAAGCUACAAAUGAAAUCAAUGUUAAAUGAACACUUAGUUAUAGUUAAGUGUAUCUUAAUGAGCAAGUGCUCUAAAUCAUUAUCCAUGAAUGAUCGAUGAAGCUAAUGCAUGUUUAGCGUUUGCACGAUUAGUCCAAUCGAUCAUUAGUUAAGUGAAUUCUUUGAUUCGAGUUGUUUACAUUUCAAUUAAUUUCAUAUCCACAAAUUGUACAUAUCAUUUCUUUUAAUUAAUUAGUUCCCUCCUUCUCUUAAUUAGUAAUUUGUUUUAAUAUAAAAGAUUUAAAGCGCGGUUUAAUAACACGCAAUGAAAUGAAAGAAAAAUGCUUAAUUUGAAUAAUCAGAUAACUGAGGAAUUGUAACCACAUUAUGCAAAUUUCAAAUUAAAAUUUCGCAAUAGUUUAUUUAAAAAUAGAAUUUCUAAUUUGCUUCUACAAUAGUGAAAAGUUAUUAAAGAGAGUUUAAUUUAAUAAUUAUUAGUGCUCGUUCGAAUAACUCUAUCAAAACAAUAAAAAAAUAUGGAUUAUAUUAGCUUAGUUUUAGUUUUCUUUUCUUCUUUUUUUUCAAAUUCUCCCUCCAUUAUAUUUUAUUCAUCACUUUGCUACAAAAUGUGGGCAAAAAGUUGUAUCUAAAUUGUUUAUUAAUUAAGGUUAAGUUUGAGGAGAGAUAUAUGUAGCCAAAUUUUAAUGUCAAUGAUAACACCUUAAUAACGUACACCUGAACCUAAAUUUAGUUGAAAUUUUUGAAAACUUUGCUUUGGGUGUGGGAACUUCAUUUAAGUAGUCACACAUUUUACUCAUUGUUACUCAUUGUUAAAAUAAACAAUAGAAAGGCAGAGGUCAUUAAUUAAUUAAACUUCUAACCCCCUUUUUUUUUAAGAAAAAAAAGAUUGAUCGUGUAAUGAGAUGAUGCGCAUGCCACACUGAACAUAUAACACGAAUACGUACAAACACAUCGUCACCGCAAUGCAAUGGGUUAUUAGCUAUAAAACCAAUCACAAUGCGCGUCUCAAACUACAACAGGCCAUCUCUAGAUGAAAUUAAUCGCGAUCUUUAAAAGUUUACUAAACUUUUAUAUAAUUCUCGUGAUAUGAGUUGCUGUAUGUAUAUAUAUAUAUAUAGAGCUAAGCUGGUAUAUUAUCGGUAGCACGGAGGCCUCCGUGCUACCAAGUUGUUUUCAAUGAUGCGGCUUCUAAAUCGACGAUCGGCUCCGUUAGACUUGAUCUACAUUAUUGAAAGUAUUUGGAAACUAAAUUUCAUGAUUUUUCGGCGUCAUUUACCAAUCAAACGAGUAGUUUAAAAAUGAACGGCUGAAAAUAAAAAUCUCAUAAAAAAUAAUGAUAAAGAAUUCAAAUUUCAAAUCGGAAGUAUUGGUCUUGCUAUUGAUGUUAAGUAGAAAUUUCUAUUAAAUUUUCAUCUAAUUUGGAUACUUCUAUACCGUUGAACUUAAAAACGCAUCAUAUCUACCAUUAAAAUUGUUAAUUUUGGAACCUUUUGAUCACUAGCCGAAUGAUGUCGAAAAAUUAUUAGUUUCCAAAUACUUUUAAUAGUGUAGAUCAAGUCUAAUAGAGCCGAUCGUCGAUUUGAAAGCCGCAUAAUUGAAAACAUUUCUAUAGGUUUAGUUAACUUAAAAACAAUCUUUUAAGAAAUUUGAUAAAUUUUGUUCUAGAUAUGAUAACUAGAACUAAUGUUCUGAGGAUAGUAGUAAAAAAUUUUUUAUAAAUAAAAGUCGGCAAGUAAAAGCACAAGUGAGCUGCCUAUUCUCUUGUGAUAGCUUUUACAUACUUUAAACUAAAGAUUUGUGAAGUUCAUCAUAUCUAGUACAAGUUGCCACGGCUAAUAGCUAAACCUCCGAGGUAGUAACUUUUGUUUAUCCACCGUUGCCUCGGGCAAACGACAGCUAUCAUAAGAUCGAGUUGAGAUAUAUAUAUAUAUCUAAGGGCGACCCAUGAUAGCUAUCGUGGUUUUUAAACCAUUAUAGCUCAAAAGGUGGCAAUCUAAAUUGGAAAACUAAUAAAAAUGGGCAAAUUAAUAUGAUAAGUUGGUUGGUGAGUGAGUUGGGAUCCUCCGGGUGUAGUAGGAUUGGUAGUUAAAGAGUUAGGUUACCGAUUUUUUAGUUAUCGUGGUUAUCGAACCACGAUAACUAUCAUAAGGUGGGAUCAAGAUAUAUAUAUAUAUAUAUAUAUAUAUCUCGAUCCGACCAUAUGAUAGCCAUCGUGCUUCCGGAGGCACGAUGGUUCAACNNNNNNNNNNNNNNNNNNNNNNGGUGUAAAGAUAUCCAAAUCAAUUGAAUUUUUGUUAGAAAAUUCUUUAAACUAUUUAAAACAAGAUCUAUACUAUUGAUCUUGAUUACAAGACUCCUAUCAUCAUUUUUUAAAAAAUAUUUAUUUUCAGCCGUUCAUUUUCGUGUUCACUCGACGGAUAAGAGAACACUAUCGAAAAUGUAUGAAAUUUGAUUUCUAAACACUUCAAGUAGUAUAGAUCAUGUUCAACGGUGCCGAUUAUCGAUUUGGAGGCUCCAUCAUUGAAAACAAAUAGGUGGCAACGGAGCCCGUUUGCUGUCGAUAGUAUUCUAGCUCAACUCUAUAUAUAUAUAUAGAUUCCCGCUGGGUACUAUCGAUAGCACCAAAAAUUUGGUAAUAUCGAGUUUUCCACCGUUAGAUUUAACCUUUUGAUUAUUUUUACCCGUUUAAUUAUACUAUUCAACCAACCACUCACUCAACCCUAGGAGGCCCACAUCAUCCUAACCAUCAAUUUCUCAAUCCAAUGGCUAAAAAAUCAAUAGCACCAAUAGCUUGGUGCUAUUGAUAGUAUUCCACCCUAGUUCUAUAUAUAUAUAUAUAUAUAUAUAUAGAGUUAGGCUGGUAUACUAUCGGUAGCAUGGAGGCCUCCGUGCUAUCAAGUGUUCAAUGAUAUGGCUUCCAAAUCAACGAUCGGCUUCGUUAGAUUUGAUUUGCAUUAUUAAAAAUAUUUAGAAACUAAAUUUCAUAAUUUUCGAUAUCAUUUGGCUAGUGAUCAAAAGGUCUCAAAAUUGACAAUUUUAAUGAUAGAUGUGGUGCGUUUGUGAAUUUAACAGUAAAAAAUAAUCCAAAUAUGAUAAAAUUUUUAUAGAAAAUUCUUUUUACUAUUUAGAGUAAGUUCAGUACCUCUGAUCUUAAAUUCAAGUCCUUUAUCACCAUUUUUUAUGAAAUUUUUAUUUUUAUCCGUUCAUUUUUAGACUACUCGUUUGAUAGGUAAAUGAUAUUGAAAAAUUAUGAAAUUUAGUUUCCAAAUACUUUCAAUAGUGUAGAUCAAGUUUGACGGAGCUGAUCAUCGAUUUGAAAGUCACAUCAUUGAAAACAAUUUGGUAGCACAGAAACUUCCGUGCUACUGAUAGUAUACCAGCCUAUAUAUAUAUAUAUAUAAAAACCUCUCAGAAUGUCCUUCGGAGAUGGACCACUGUCGAGGAAAUUAAGUCAGGCGAAAAUAUUUUGUCGCGUGACACUUGCGGCUUCGUUGAAAAUAUAAGUGUAUUCUAUCUGUUGGAAAUUCGCAAGUAACAUUGGACCUGACCCUGCUUGUUUCAACCAAAGUGAAUAAAUAAUAAAAUAAUUUUUUAAUCAUAAAUAUUGAUAUUUUUUAUUUGUUCACUGUUAAUUUUAUAUUUAUUAGUUAAAAGUCUAUGAGUUCAGCUCGGCUCACCCCAACUUAAAGUAAAUUACUAAUGAUGAAUAAAAUGAGAAAAAAAAACACAAAUAUAAUCCUAAUUUUCAUAUCUUUAACUUUUAACAUAUCAAACAAACACAGAAUUAGAAAAGAACUUUAGUUUCACAAAGCUACCAUAAACCAAAAAAAAAAGAGAGUAAUUUUAUCUAAACUCUAGUUCACUCGAUAAGUCUACUUCAUCCUAAAUUGAAACUUCGUCUUUGAUUAAACAAUAGGUCAUACUAGGUAAAAUUAAGGAGAUUAUCAUAAUCAUUUAAAAUAACCGAAAAUUAUUUUGUCAUCUUAUGUUCUUUUUUUUAAGAAAGAAAAUAGCAUGCUUAUCGAGUUACAUUUAGUAAUCCUUUUACAAAUAAAAUUUAGCUAGGACAUAUAAGCCGGCAAUUAUAACAUUCGGUUAUCCAACUAAUUAAUCUCUUACCAUUUACUGUUCGUAUAGUUAAAAAAUUCACUAAAUUAUUCUAUGGUUUAGACUUAUAUUGUACUUUGUCUCAGCCUAUAAUCAAAAGGUAUACUGAAUUAUUCUGUGUGUUAUAUAAAAAUUUUAAUUUGUAACCUUAUUGUUAGUAAGAUUUUUUUGAUAGAAUAAAAAAUAAAUUAUAGAAUAGUUAAAUGCCAACCUGUUUAAAAUCUACAGUAGUGAUAAAGUAAAAUUAAACUCAUACCACAUAGAAACAGAUUAAAGUUUAUCCUAUCAUUAAAUAUGGAGGCUAAAUCUAUGAUCAUAUGAACCCUCCAUAGCUCUACCUGUCCAUAUAAAGAGAUGUUUGUCAAUAAUCAAGCUAUCGAAAUUGAGAUAGUAUUAAGUAAACUAAAAGAGGAGUAGGUCCGAUUGUACUUUCGAAAAUAUGGAGGGUUAACGGUGUUUGAAGUUAUUUUUGAUAAUAUAGGAUAUCGAUUCCGAAAAUCAACUCUGUUAAGCAUAAUAUGUAUACUAACUGGAAUUAUUUAGGAAUCAAAUUUCAUAUUUUUUGACAUUAAUUUACCAAAGUAGGUCGAAGAUCUGAAAAAAAUGACUAUUUACGGUCGAUGGGGCGCAGUUUUUUAAGUUCAACGGUGUAGAAUAAUCCAAAUUUAUAGAAACAUUAAAUAAAAAAAUUCUAUUAAUAUCAAAAUACAAGAUCAAUACUUUUGAUUUAAAAUUUGAGUCUUUUACUCAAACUGUUUUUUAUGGAUAUUGUUAUUUUGUCAACCGUUCAUUUUGAGUACUUGUUCACUAUGCUAGAUGAAGUUUCCAAAAAAUUAUAAGUUUGAUUUCUAAAAUAGUCCAAUAAAAUAGAUCUAUGUUUAUAAAUUAAUUACCGAACCAGAUGUUCCAAUAUCGAAAAUAAUUUAUAAAAUACGGUAGACCUCCGUACUAUUCAAAUCCUAGAAGAGCGAGGCUCAACCUAAAUAGUAAGUCUACGAUUUUACAAUUUACUGCCGAAAAUUGGAUCUGGCCUAUUAUGUUAUUAUAUAUUUAACACCCUCGUUAAUUCCAUGCGAAUCAAUCAUUCUUUAUUAUAGGAGUGAUUUUCCAUUUUUAAUAUUUAAUAAUCUACACGGCUAUCUAGUAGAGAUGUCACGGUCGGAUUUCGGCGGCUGCAUUUUUAAAAGAUCCGGAACUCCGACCCGACCCAAAAAUCGAAAAACCGCAGAACCCGAACCCGAACUAGAAAAUUUUGAAACCGAACAAUAUAUUUUUUUUUAAUAUUUCAAAAAUAUUUAUACUUAAAUUUAAAUUUUUAAGAAUACAAAAUUCAAUAUAACAUUCAAAAUUUUUAUAUUAUUAUAAUAUAAUACAAAACAAGUUCGGGUCGGGUCGGAUUCUGGGUUCUAGUCGCGAUCAAUUGUAACAAAUCCAUAUCCGAAUCCAUAAUCCGUUGGAUUUUUAUGUUUUUAUAUCCAUAUCCAAAUCCAUGAUCCAUAUCUAUUCGGAUAUAUCUCUUCGAGUUCGGAUUCGGAUUUCUGAUGAAAAAAUUUUGGUAUGGCCGUAUACCAUUGACAUCCCUAACUAUUCCAGUCCACAAUCCCAAGCUAGUCAAAUUAUCUUGACCCAUAUGUUUCGAAGCAUAGGCUACACGGCCCCUCUUUUUUCAAUUUUUAACAAUAUAAUAUAAAAUAUAAAAAUGAAACUAAGCUAACUUAGGGUGUUAUGGUCUGGCGUAAAUGAACGGCGAAAAAUUUUUUCAGUGAAAAAUAUUUUUCUGUUGUUUGCUUCCACGUAAAACUAUUUUUUCAUAAAAGUAUGUUUUACUACAUUUGGGAAAAAGAGUCGCUGUUUGAAUUCAACGUAAAUACUGUAAAAAAUAAUUAUUCGUAAAAACUAAUGAUAAAAAAAUUUAAUGAACUUUUGUAGGUGCUUGUUUAUAGGAAAAAAAAAUAGGUUCCUUUAUCCAAAUCAUUUGUUGACUAAAUGAAAAAAAUUCACAUUUUUUGAGUCGAGUGAAAAAAAAAAGAAUGAAAUUUUUUUUACAUGGAGGGGGUUUGAAUUUUUUUCUGCCGAAUUGCCCAGAAGAAACAACUUAUUUUUUUUUUCACAAUCUCGUAAAAAUAUUUUAUAGAAAAAAUUCUUACGUCGAAACCAACAAACGAAAAUUAUUUUCAUACGCGAAAUAUUUUUCGGUUCUUUUACGUUGAACAAACACCUCCAUUAGCCUAUUUGGUGUCGCUCAUAUGAACAUAUGCUAGCAACUUUUUUUUUUUUUUUUUGAGAGGAAAGGGACUGUACGGCAUUUACUAUCCAUUUCGUUUAUUUUUUAGAAUAUAUUUUUUUUUUUUUAGAGAUAGGGUAGCACGCUACCCCACUUUGUUAUAUUUAUUUAAUAAAUCAAUAAAAUCGUGCAAACAGUGAAUCAGUGAGAUUCGAACUUGCCGGGUCAUCGGAUCCACAACCAAAAUGUCGUUUACGCACUUGCUCUAUUGAACGGUCGUCAUUUUUAGAAUAAAACUUAGCUGGAAAUGUGGAAUCAACUAGAAUUCGAAACUUGGACUCGGUAACAACCAACUCAAACUUCUUUUGCAUUGGCGCUAAGCGAUCGUCAGUUGUAGCAACUUUAUGGACCAGCAUUCUUCAAACUUAGAUUCCCCACCCAUCUUCAAAGUUUUGCAAAGCUGUGGACUCAAUGCGCAAUGAAUGAAAUUUCAUUAUUUAGUUUGUAUUUUGGCAUCAUUGGUCAAGUUGAUGAUCCUUUCUUGUGGGUCUCACAUUGAUGACUUUGAUAUAACAGCUGUAAUAUAUUGUUCAAAGAGCUAAUUAUCCCAACUAAGGUCAAUUGCGAAUCGCUGCUAAAGAAAACUUGCCAAUUCAUGCUCAUAUCUUUUUUUUUUAUUUUUAUGUUCAAUUGGUUUGAAUUUAGGUUCACUAUGAAUUAACUGCAUUGAUACAUGUCACAAAUUAAUGGUGUAGGUGUUAGAUGUGACUCGAAAUCUACUAUCGAUUCAGGUUCGGAUUCGACUCACCGACAGUUUCGCGGUGCGACCAAUGGUGAAAAAAUUAUUGAGGAAAAAUGAAUGUCCUGUGGUGGGUAGCGAGGGCUCGGCCGACAGCGCCGAGCCCGUAAGAGGCGUGCUGAUCGUUUUUGCCCUAGAAGCGUGUGAUCGUGGUCGGUUGUAAUCUGAAGAAUAUUGUAUUCCCUUUUUCGUUUCAUAGGGAAGAUCUCUCCUUCCUCGCCCGUGGUUUUUUUUCCCUGCAAAGUUUUCCAGUAAAUCUGUGUCUCUUUAUUUUCUGCUUGUGGUUUGAUUGUUUUUUGUUGUUCGUUCGUCAUUUUGUUUCCGGUUGUGUGUGUUGUCGUACCAGUAGGUUUUGAUUGAAUGCGACGUAUUUAUUAUUGUAAACAGCAGAGCACUUGCAAUGUAUGUGCACGGUAAUUGAUAAUGUAUCUUUGAGAUUGUAGUAAAGGUACAAUAUAACGACGAAGAACUAUAUUAUAUAUUCACCAUAUUUUGCUUUAUGUAUAUGCUUGAUAAAAUUAUAUUGAGAAAAUAAUGUGAUAAAUUUUAUUAUCCAUAAAAUUAAAUAUAGUAGGAAAAUAAGGGCUCAUCCAUGACAAGAAGAUUUAACAAAUAUGGAGAUUUGAGAAUCUAAAUUGCAUCUAUUGUGUUAUUGAGAAUGGCCUGGUGGGGUUCCAACAAAGAAAAUAAAUAUCGUAAAUAAUCAUGCUGCAUGGCAGAACGGGGUUUAUUUAAGAACAUUAUUCGAAACUAAUUUUACUAAAAAUUGUGCAAUUUCACCAAUGUUAAUAGAGAAAAGCUACAAAUGAAAUCAAUGUUAAUGAACACUUAGUUAUGUUAAGUGUAUCUUAAUGAGCAGCGUGCUCUAAAUCAUUAUCCAUGAAUGAUCAUGAAGCUAAUGCAUGUUUAGCGUUUGCACGAUUAGUCAAUCGAUCAUUAGUAAGUGAAUUCUUUGAUUCGAGUUGUUUACAUUUCAAUUAAUUUCAAUUCCACAAAUGUUGACAUAUCAUUUCUUUUAAUUAAUUAGUUCCCUCCUUCUCUUAAUUAGUAAUUUGUUUUAAUAUAAAAGAUUUAAAGCGCGGUUUAUAAUACACGCAAUGAAAUGAGAAGAAAAAUGCUUAAUUUGAAUAAUCAGAUAACUGAGAAUUGUAACCACAUUAUGCAAAUUUCAAAUUAAAAAUUUGCCAAUAGUUUAUUUAAAAAUAGAAUUUCUAAUUGUUUUACAAUAGUGAAAAGUUAUUAAGGAGAGUUAAUUAAUAAUUAUUAGUGGUGCUCGUUCGAAUAAACUCUAUCAAACAUAAAAAAAAUAUGGGAUUUAUUAGCUUAGUUUUAGUUUUCUUUUCUUCUUUUUUCAAAUUCUCCCUCAUUAUAUUUUAUUCAUCACUUUGCUACAAAAUGUGCGGAAAAUGUUGUAUCUAAAUUGUUUAUUAAUUAAGGUUAAGGUUUGAGGAGAGAUAUAUGUAGCCAAAUUAAUGUCAAUGAUAACACUUAAUAACGUACACCUGAACCUAAAUUUAGUUGAAAUUUUGAACUUUGCUUUGGUGUGGGACUUCAUUUAAGUAGUCACACAUUUUACUCAAUUGUUACUCAUUGUUAAAAUAACAAUAGAAAGGCAGAGGUCAUUAAAUUAAUUAAACUUCUAACCCCUUUUUUUAAGAAAAAAAGAUUGAUCGUGAAUGAGAUGAUGCGCAUGCACACUGAACAUUAACACGAAUACGUACAAACACAUCGUCACCGCAAUGCAAUGGGUUAUUAGCUAUAAAAACCAAUACCAAUUGCGCGUUCAAACUACAACAGCCAUCUCUAGAUGAAAUUAAUCGCGAUCUUUAAAAGUUUACUAAACUUUUAUAUAAUUACUCGUGAUAUGAGUUGCUGUAUGUAUAUAUAUAUAUAUAGAGCUAAAGCUGGUAUAUUAUCGUAGCACGGAGGCCUCCGUGCUACAAGUGUUUUCAAUGAUGCGGCCUCUUAAAUCGACGAUCGCUCCGUUAGACUUGUCUACAUUAUUGAAAGUAUUUGGAACUAAAUUUCAUGAUUUUUCGGCGUCAUUUUACCAAUCAAACGAGUAGUUUAAACAUGAACGGCUUGAAAAUAAAUCUCAUAAAAAAUAAUGAUAAAGAAUUCAAUUUCAAAUCGGAAGUAUUGGUCUUGCUAUUUGAUUUUAAGUAGAAAUUUCUAUUAAAUUUUCAUGUAAUUUGGAUACUUCGUAUACCGUUGAAUUAAAAACGCAUCAUAGUUCCAUUAAAAUUGUUAAUUUGGAACCUUUGAUCACUAGACCGAAUGAUGUCGAAAAAUUAUUAGUUUCAAAUAUUUUAAUAGUGUGAUCAAGUCUAAGAGAGCCGAUCUGUUCGAUUUGAAGCCGCAUAUUGGAAAACAACUUAGUAGCACGGAGGCCUUCGUGCUACGAUAGUAUACCGCCUAGCUCUAUAUAAUAUAUAUAGAGAGAGAGAGAGACGAGAGAGAGAGAGCAGAGAGAGAGAGAUGAGAGAGAGAGAGAGAGUCCGGCUACUAUACUUUUAUGAGUGAUUAGAGUCUAUUGUAUUUAUAAUUUUGACCGUUAGAUCUACCAUUUGAUUAUUUUACCUGUUAGAUUAUAUUAUUCAACCAACCACGCCACUCUAACCCUAGUGAGACACCACUAUUAACCUGCGCGUAACCACUUUCAUCGCUAACCGCACAUUUUUUUAUUUGAACAGUCGAAAGCUUAUAAUACAAAGAGCUAUACUCAUAUGAGUAUAGUAGCCCAGGCCUAUAUAUAUAUAUAUAUAUAUAGAGAGAGAGAAGAAGAGAGAGAGAGAGAGAGAGAGAGAGGGGGUGUCAGAGAGGAGAGAGAGAAGUUGAGCUAGAAUACUAUCGAUAGCAAGUGGGCUACGUUGCCACCAAUUUGUUUUCGAUGAUAGAGCGUCCAAUCGACGAUCGGCACCUUAAACAUGAUCUAUACACUUGAAGUAUUUAGAAAUCAAUUUAAAUCUUUUCGACUCAUUUGCCUAAUGAUCAAAAGGCGUUUCAAAUUUGUAAUUUUAAUGUCGAUAUGAGACAUUUUUCGUUUAAAGGGUAAAGAUAUCCAAAUCAAUUGAAUUUUUGUUAGAAAAUUCUUUAAAACUAUUUUAAACAAGAUCUAUACUAUUGAUCUUUGAUUACAAACUCCUAUCAUCAUUUUUAAAAAAUAUUUAAUUUUCAGCCGUUCAUUUUCGGGUUCACUCGACGGAUAAGAGAACACUAUCGAAAAUGUAUGAAAUUUUGAUUUCUAAACACUUCAAGUAGUAUAAUCAUGUUUCAACGGUGCGAUUAUCGAUUUGAGGGCUCCAUCAUUGAAAACAAAUAGGUGCGCAACGGAGCCCGUUUGCUGUCGAUAGUAUCGUAGUCAACUCUAUAUUAUAUAUAUGAUUCGCGCUGGGUACUAUCGAUAGCACCAAAAUUUGGUAAUAUCGAGUUUUCCACCGUUAGAUUUAACCUUUUGAUUAUUUUUACCCGUUUAAUUAUACUAUUUCAACAACACUCACUCAACCCUAGGAGGCCCACAUCAUCUAACCAUCAAUUUCUCAAUCCAAUGGCUAAAAAAUCAAUAGCACCAAUAGCUUGUGCUAUUGAUAGUAUUCCACCCUAAGUUCUAUAUAUAUAUAUAUAUAUAUAUAGAGUUAGCUGGUAUACUAUCGGUAGCAUGGAGGCCUCCGUGCUAUCAAUGUGUUCAAUGAUAUGGCUUCCAAAUCAGCGAUCGUUCGUUAGAUUUGAUUUGCAUUAUUAAAAUAUUUAGAAACUAAUUUCAUAAUUUCGAUAUCAUUUGGCUAGUGAUCAAAAGGAGCUCAAAAUAUGACAAUUUUAAUGAUAGAUGUGGUGCGAUUUGUGAAUUUAACAGUAAAAAUAAUCCAAAUAUGAUAUUUUAUUAGAAAUUCUUGUUUACUAUUUAAGAGUAAGUUCAGUACCUCUGAUCUUAAAUUCAAGUCCUUUAUCACCAUUUUCAUGAAAUUUUUAUUUUUAUCCGUUCAUUUUUAGGACUACUCGUUUGAUAGGUAAAUGAUAUUAAAAUUAUGAAAUUUAGAUUCCAAAUACUUUCAAUUAGUGUAAGAUCAAGUUUUUGACGGAGCUGUAUCAUCGAUUGAAAGUCACAUCAUUGAAAACAAUUUGUAGCACAGAAACUUCCGUGCUACUGAUAGUAUACAGCCUAUAUUAUAUAUAUAUAUAUUAUAUUUAUAUAUAUAUAUAUAUAUAUUAAUAUAUAUAUAUAUAUAUACUAUUUAUAAUAUAUAAUAUAUAUAUAUAUAUAUAUAUAUGAAUAUAUAUAUAAUAUAUAUAUAUAUUUAGGCUACUAUACUAUCUAUAGUACGGGGCUCCCGGUACUAUAGUGUAGUUUUCGAUCUUCGGGCAUUCAAAUUAAUGAUCAACACCGUUGAAAACUGGAUGUAGGGAUUUAAAGUUUUUAGAAAUAAAUUUUUAUUUUUUUCGACAUCAUUUACUUAGUAAAUAAAUUAUGUCAAAUAGACGGUGGGAAUUGAAUACUCUUUAAAAUUUGAGCAUGAGGACUUUUAAAUUCAAGAUCAAGAAUGGUAGCCUUAUAUAUAGUUUAAAGUAUUUUCUUAUCAAAAUUUGUAAAGAAAUUUAGAUUCUUCUUACACGUUAACUCCCAACUCGUCAUAAUAACAUUGAAAAUUGACAAUUUUGAAAUGUUUUGAUCAUAAUGUAAACUAGUCAAAAAAUAUAAAAAUUAUUUUCUAAAAACUUAAAUAUCCUAGAUCAAUUUUAACGGUGUGGAUCGUUAAUUUGAGACGCCCGAAAAAUCGAAACACUGAUACUAUAGUACGGAACUCCCGAUACUAUAGCAUAGUAUAAGUAGCCGGACCUCUCUCUCUCUCUCUCUUGUCUAUAUAUUAUAUAGUAUAUAGUGUAGGCCCGCGCUUUGGUGCGGGAAUAAUAUAUUUUUCAAAUUUUAAUAUUUUUUAAUUUAUACAAAUUUAAUAAAUAAUUGUUCUAGUAUUUUAGCAAAUUUAAAAUUUUAAUUUUAUUACCCAAUCCAAACAGGCCCUAAGUGUAUCAAAUAUGAUACGGGAUUAUUUUCUGCACUAUAUAUAAAAAUGUACAUAUGAUAUAUAUUGUAAUAAUAAAUUAUCUAUAGAUGAACAUAUCAAUUUGGUGGCAUUGUGUGAUUAAAAAUUAAUAGAAAAAUAUAAAGAAAAAAAAACAAUUGGUUAACUAUACACUAAGUUUUUAAUUGAUUAUCUAUUCUCUAAUCAAAUGAAUAUAUUAAUUUGAUCAGAUAAAUCUACUUUUCCAUGAAGUGAUAAUGAUGUGAAUUUAUAAAAAAAUAAAAACUGGGACGCUAUGAAUCAUGACAAAGAAAAAGCAAAGUAUAGUAAUAAGGCUAAUCUAAUUGCGAAAAGCAAGCAAGANNNNNNNNNNNNNNNNNNNNNNNNNCUAUAAUAAUAAUAUAUAUAUAUUAUAUAAAAUAUAUAUAUAAUAAAUAUAUAUACAAUUAAUAUAUAUGUAUAUAAUAAUACAUAUAUUAUAUAUGUAUAUAAUAAUUAGCACCUUUCUACAAAACUAUCUAUAGUACUGGGGAGCCCCGACUAUGUGUUAGUUUCAGUUUUCAUUCUUCGGCCAUUCAAAUUAAGAUCAACCACCUGUUAAAACACUGAUGUAGUGUAUUGAAAGUUUUUAAAAUAAAUUUAUAUUUUUCACUAUUCAUUUACUAGAAAUACAAUUUAUGUCAAAAUAACGGUUUGUGGGAUCCACUAUUUAAACUUACAUAGGACUUUUAAAUCAAGGACAGGAAUGUUAGCCUUGAAUCUAUUAUGUUAAAUUUUCUAUCCAACAAUUUGAAGUAAACUUUAUACCUUCUACUACGUUUAAACCCCACACUCGUCCAUAAAUACACCAUGAAAUUAUGACAAUUUGAAAUUGUUUUACAUACAAGUAAAAACUAUUCAAAAAAUAUAAAAACUAUUCUCUCAAAAACUUUAAAUAUUAAUCAUUUAACGGUCGUGAUCCGUUAAUUGAACGCCGAAAACUUCGAAAACAUGUACCUAUAGUACGGGAACUCCCUCAACAUAAUAGUAUAAGUACCGACUCUCUCUUCUCUCUCUCUCUAUAUUAUAUAUUAUAUAUACUAUGUUAGGUCCGCGCCGCUUCCGUAAAAUAAUAUUUUAUCAAAUUCAAAUAUUAAAUUAUACAAAUAUUAAUAAAAAUUUUAGUACUUUUAGCAAAUUUAAAAAGUUUUCAAUUCGUAUACCAAUCCGAAAAGCCUAAUGUAGUUGCAAAUAUGACUACAGGGAUAUUUUCAUGCCUAUAUAAAUUUAUUAUAUGUACUUAUAUCAAAAUGAAAUAAAAUCUAUAGAUGAACAUAUCAAAUCUUGGUGCUUGUUGUUAUUAAAAAUUAAUAGAAAAAUAUGAAGAAAAAAAUAACAAUUGGUUAACUACACUAAUUUUAAAUUGAUCAUCCUAUCUUAAUCAAAUGAAUAUACUUAAUAUUUGAUCAUAUAAAUCUACUUUUUCCCAUGAAAGAAAUUAGUGAAUUAGCUACAAAAAAAAAAACACUGAGACCUAUGAAUGCAUACAAAGAAAAAAAGAUAGAAUAAGGUAAUCUAAUUGUAAAAAGCCAAGAUCAAGAAACAAUUAUUAUUGACCAAAAAAACUACACACAAUGUUUCACUCUACUUCUAGGCCAAUAUUAUAUGCCUAUAUUGUUAAAUUUAUAACUGCUAUCUAUGAAAUAUAGAAAAGACAAUAGAAAAGGUAUAAAUGAUGAUUAAAUUUUCAUGUAAUUCCAUUAGAAUGAAACUGCCAAACUUAAAAAAAAUACUAUAUAUAAACUUAUAAAGACCACCCUUAGAACAAAAAAAAAACUUGGUCAAAUAAAAUGUGAUUAAUUUAUAAAUUAAUUUUUAACAUAGAGAAUAAAUUACUGUGAUAUAACAAUCAUGCGAAGCCCCAUAAAAAUAUUAUAUAUCAUGACCAAAUUGAUUAAUUAUAGUAUUAAUUAUAUAUUAAAACUAUAGAUAUGUAUCUCAGUGAACUAAUAUCUACUAAUCAUGAAACCAAAAAAGAUUAUGACCUCGUUGAAGAUUUAUAUAUUAAUAUAUAUUUACAAACUAUUAUGUAUUGAUUAUACUUGUAUAGCAUAUUAAUCAAUAAAUUUCUCAUCUUCUUGGCGUCAAGAGGAUGUAAUAUAACUUCCCACCCUCCGCAAACAUUAAUUCGCCUAUAUAGUUAUAGAUAUACUAUAUUAUAUAUAGAAUGAAGCUAGAAUUACUCUCGAAGUAACGGCACUAGCAUUUCAUAUCAAUGUUUCUUGAUAAGACUUUCCGAAGUUUACCAUCGGCCCGGAAAAUAUCAAAUCUCCACCAAUAAUAAUAGCAACCCUCCUGAUUGAAAAAUUAUAUUAUAAAAAUUAGACUAAUUUUCAUUGCACUCCUUGUAAAUAAUCCAAUUAUAAAUGAAACAAUAUUAUUGACCAAAAACCUAACAAAUUUUUCACUCUACUCUAGCCAAUAUUUAUAGUGUGCUUAUAAUUGUAAAUUUUUAUAACUGUUAUCUAUGAAAAAGAAAAGACAAUAUAGAAAAGAGUAAAUGAUGAAUUUAAUUUUCUUAUUUAAUUUCCAUUAGAUGAACUGCCAAACUAAAAAAAAUAUUAUUGAUAACUUUAUUUAAAGAUUCCACCCUUAGAAAAAAAAAACGGUCAAAUUAAAUGUGCAUUAAUUUAGAAAUUUUUAUUUGUUUAAAGUAGAGAAUGAAGUUAAUUACUUUCGAUUAUUAAUCAUGGAAGCCAAAAAGAUUAUUAUAUAUAUGACAAUAUUGGAUUAAUUAUAUGUAUUAAUUAUAUAUUAAACUAUAGUUAUUAUUGUGAUUCAUGAAGCUAAUUACUUCCGGUUACUAAUCAUGGAAGCCAAAAAGAUUAUUGACAAUAUUGGGUUAAUUAUAUAUAUUAAUUAUAUAUUAAACUAUAGUUAUUAUUGUGAUUAUAUAUUUAUAUCAGUUAUUAAUCAUUAAAUUUCUCAUUUUGUUCUUUCAAGGAGGGAAUGUAAGAUAACUUGCCACGUGGCAAGAAUUAUUCUGGCUUCAUAUAGUUUUAUAGAUAUAUAUAUAUAUAUAGAGUUGAGCUAGAAUACUCUCGAUAGUAAACGGAGCAUUUUACUAUCGAGUUGUUUUCGAUGAUAGAGCUUCCAAAUUGACGAUCGGCUCCGUUAAAUAUGAUCUAAUCUCCACAAUAAUAUAUAGCACCCUGAUUGUAAAAAUAUAUGAUAUAAAAAUUAGGAUUAAUUUCAUGCAGCUCCUUGUAAAUAAUGAAUUAUAAAUUAUCCACGCAAAGUUCAAUUUUCAUACAUUGUUUUUGUAAAAAUUCUAAUAUUUUCAAAUAUAUUUCUGCCGUUAGAAUCCGUUAGAAAACUUUAAUUAACUAUAAAUUAAAUACUUAACUCUAAUUAAUUAUAAAAGAACUUGACAUUUUUGCUCCUCUUAUAUUAUACUAUUGUAGCUUUUGAAGGGACGUACAUAUUUGUGCCGACAAAAUUAACAUUUCACUUAAAAUAUAAAUAGUUCUAUAAUGGUAACAAAUCAGAAAAAUAUAUUUGAAAAUAUUAGAACUUUUAUAGGAACAUUAUAUAAAAAUUGAACUUUAAAGAAAUAUAUUUGUAAUUUGCUAUAUUUGCAGAGACCUGUAUGUAUUUAAUCCUAAAAAUUAUACGGUAACAACAACCAAAACAAAAUAGUUUGCAUCAAUAGACUUUGCUUUUUUGUCGCAUUAUGUGAAUCUAAUGAUCAGCGUUGGCACAUAUGUCACGCAAUCCUGUUUUGAUAAGUCGUAUUCCAAAGUUGUGCUUAAAAUAAUUAAGACUUAUUGUAGACCUUCAUGUGACUACACUCCAUUUAAAUGGAGAUAAAAGGAGGGGGGAAAAAAAAAAAAAGUCCGAGGGAAAAUCAUUCUCUCUCUCCCUCGUUUGAAUUGAAAAUUCUCUACAUCGGGGGCCUUUGAUUUCCUGAAAGAUAUAUAACCCAAAAUAAUUUUCUUUAGUUAAAAAAAUUAGUAUUUUUUAUUUUCUGCUUUUUAUUGGAAGAAACAAAAAUGGUGAAAAAAGAUGUUUUUCUUAAAAAACUAUUUUCCAGAUAAAUAAUUUUUUCACACUUUUUCGAGGGAUCAAACAGCCCUAAACAAACACCCGAGGACAUAAAACUUUGCUUUUUUUUUUUGCGGAUUUUUGUUAUUAGUCUUUAUUCUAAUAACAUAGUGUUUAAAAAGAAUAUUUAUGUAUUAUAUUACAUAUUUACGCGCCAGAGAAUUGGGAUGCAACAAGGGGAAAAAAUAAUAAGUUUAUAUAAUUUCUUAAAAAAUUCAUAUAUAGUAGUGUAUUAAUUUUCGACAUGUUAUACUCGAAGGAAAAAAUUAAUUAAGUUUGUUCCCGGGGAUAAGAAAAAUAGCGUUUGGAUAGAUAAUAUGGAAUAAGAAAAAUAUUAGAUAGUUUUGUAUAAAAAAUGGAGAUGUUGGUGGGGAUAACCGAGAACUACUAUUCUCGGCUAAAAAAUUAGUGUUUGGGUAUAAAGGGGGGGAUAAGGGCCUAUUCCUAUCCCUAUUCCCUAACCAAACGGCUAGGAGAAUUGGUGUUUACGCUUGCCCCCCUCACAAUUUUAAAUAUUUGAUCCUGUUCAUUGGAUGUAGAUGCAAAACCGAGGGAUAUCUAUGCAUAAAGACCCCUGAAAAGGGCGUUUCCACAAAUAAACAGCAUUACAGGAGGGUAUAUGCAAAUAUCCACUUUGCAGUUUGCAGGGGUAGUUAUGUAAUNUAGUGUAUUAAUUUUCGACAUGUUAUACUCGAAGGAAAAAAUUAAUUAAGUUUGCUUAAUUGUCACUCACCCAGAAUUUGGAGUAAGGUUGACUUAUGUAUGGUAUCGUUUGGUUGGGGUAUAAGUAAUAACUAGCUAUUACAGAGAUAUGUAUAAUUAUGGGGAUAAAAAAAAAGUGUUUAGAUGAAAAUUAGGUUGUUCCCGGGGAUAAGAAAAAUAGCGUUUGGAUAGAUAAUAUGGAAUAAGAAAAAUAUUAGAUAGUUUUAUAUAGAAAAUGGAGAUGUUGGUGGGGAUAGUUAUAAUCGGUUAUUAUAGAUAAUCGAGAACUGUUGUUCUCAGAUAAAAAAUUAGUGUUUGGGUAUAAAUGGGAGGAUAAGAAUCUAUCCCUAUUCCUAUCCCCUAAUCAAACACUGCAGGUAUUGUUCAAAUUAUUGUUUAUUUAUAUAUAAAAUACAUAAUUAAAUUUCAACAAGCUUGAAGCAGCUAUGCGAUGACUUGUUCAAAAAUCUAUUAUGAUCGGCACCCUCACUAACCUUAAAGUAUAUAUAAAUGUUAAAAAUGUCGUUUUCGUACAUCUUUCAUUAUGAUUUACCUAAUUCACCCUUAAGCUAACAUGUGGUUGGAAUUAGCUACUCGCUCACCUUUAUCAUUCCUCCCUAAAACGUGGACGGCGACUUAUUCUCGCUAACAAUUUAGUCAAUUUCUUUACCAUAUUCCUGGCCUUCGGCAACUCUCAAAAAUCAAGAAUUUCUGUAAAGUAUUUUAAGAAUAUAAUAAUAAAGAGUAGUGUAAAAAUCAUUGAUAAUAUUUUUUAGGGAAACUUCAAAUAUCCUUCUGUGGUUUCACACUUUUUCACUUUAGUACCCCAUGGUUUAAAGUAUAUCGAGCUAGUACCAUAUGGUUUAAAGUGUACCAAGUUAGUACCCUAUAGUUUCGCACUUUCUAACUUUCGUACCAUGUGGUUUCAAGUGUAUCAAGUUAGUAUCUUGUGGUUUUACAUUUUCUUACUUUAGUACCAUGUGGUUUCAAGUGUAUCAAGUUAGUAUCCUGUGGUUUCAUUUUUGUAUAAAGUUAGUACUCUGUGGUUUCAAUUUUCUCUUUAAGGUACUAACUUGAUAUACUUGAAACCACAAGAUACUAAAGUGAGAAAGUGCGAAACCAUAGAGUACUAACUUAAUACAUUUUAAAUCACAAGGUACUAAUGUGAAAAAGUGCGAAACCACAAUGGAAUAUUUGAAGUUUUCCCUAUUUUUUACUAGGACAAUUAGAUUAGCUUUUAGUUUGUAUUUGGAAAUUAGCAAAUGCAAGAGUGUUAAAACCUUUUUAUAAUUUUUUUUUUUUUUUUCAGUUUAGUAUUGCUACAACUACAAAUAACUACUCUAUAUAUAUAGGCUGCAUUUGGUUGGAGGGAUAUUUCAGAACAAGACUGAAUAUUCCUCUUUAUCCCUCCAAACACAAUGUAAAAUAGAACAUCCCCCUUGUUCUGGGCUUAACGAGUUAUUUCCGAAUAACCCGUUAAACCCAGUUCUUCUUUACAUGGAGAACAAAUUAGAACAAAAAAUUUUGUCUUUUUUUUUUUUAAUUAUGUCCUUUCAUUCUCUUUAUACUUUAUUUUAAUUAAUUUCAAAUAAAUCAAAUGAAUGCUCAAAUUUUAUGCUACUAAAUUAAUAUUUCUAUGAUGAUUUGUAAACAUACCAAAUUUGUGAAAUAAUAUGCUCUUCUAUAUUUAAAAUUAUAUAUUUAUAUUUAAUUUUAAUUAGUUUUAAACAGAAAAUUGAAAGUAUAUUUUUACUGCUAUAUUAUUAUACUAUUAUAUAUUAAUUCUAUUUCUAUUUUCAUAUAUUAAAUUAUAUUUUAUUAUUAUAUUCAAGAGCAUAAUUGUCAUUUUAUUUAAUUUUUAUUAAUUCAAUACCUUAUUUCAAUAUAAACAUUCAAAAAACAAUAUAGAAAUAUGCUAGAAAUAAACAAAUAAACAUCCAAAUAUAAUUUAGAACUUAUUUUAAUUUAUUUUAAAAUAUUUUUUGUUCUUAAGAACAAUAAAAAUUAUUCUCAAAAAAUUUAGUUCUCUAAUUAAACAUAGCGUAUGGUUCGAAAAAUGUUGCUUGUCAAAAGUGCUGCCUAAUGCAAUUAAUAGUGUAUUAAUUUUCGACAUGUUAUACUCGAAGGAAAAAAUUAAUUAAGUUUGCUUAGUUGUCACUCACCCAGAAUUUGGAGUAAGGUUGACUUAUAUUUGGUACCGUUUGGUUCGGGUAUAAAUAAGAACUAGCUAUUACAGGGAUAGGUACAAAUAUGGGGAUAAGAAAAAAAGUAUUUGAAUAAAAAUUAGGUUGUUUCUGGGGAUAAGAAAAAUAACGUUUGGAUAGAUAAUAUGGAAUAAGAAAACUAUUAGAUAGUUUUAUACAGAAAAUGAAAGUGUUGGUGGGAAUAGUUAUAACCGGUUAUUAUAGAUAACCGAGAGCUGCUGUUCUCGGAUAAAAAUUAGUGUUUGGAUAUAAAUGGGGGAUAAGGGACUAUCCCUAUUCCUAUCUC